AACCCGCGUCACCCUAUCAUCAAAGAACUCAAGGAUAGAGUUGCAAGCCACCCAGAGGUAUACAAACAUUAGACUCAUCAAAACUCUUUUCUGUCUAUUGGUUUAAAUCAGUUUGACUGAGACAAAAAUUCUAUCAGGAUAAGAGUGUGAAAGAAACAGCACAGCUCAUGUACCAGACUGCUUUGAUCGAGAGUGGAUUCAUACUCAACGACCCAAAAGACUUUGCGGGGCGUAUUUACAACUCCGUCAAGAGCAGCCUGAAGAUCAGCCCUGAUGCAGUGGCCGAAGAGGAAGUCGAGGCAGAUGAAACAGAGACCAGUGAGGAGGCUACUGAGACGAAAUCAGAUGGUGGUCUGAACAUUGAAGCCGAACCCGUUGAGAAAGAGACACCAACCAAGGACGAACUGUAGAAGAUUUCACUUUUGAUGUUUUUUUUUUCUUCCCUCAAGUUAAAAGCAGAACAUCAUUAUUCUACUCGUUAUUUCAAAGAUUGGUUUUUACUAAUUUGGUUUUUGAUGGAUUAUGUAAAAGCAGCACAACUUGGAUUCUAGAGAUAAAAGCGAAUCCUUUGGUUAUUCGGUUUAAUAGAUAAUGCAUUGAUCAAGACAUGUUUAUUCAUAAGAACAAUUCACUCUGCUCACUUUCAUCAAUGCCUUUUUCUCUUGCUCAUGAACCAACUGUACUUUCCGAACAAGUUUCCGCAGUUCCUAUCAACAGACAAUGAUCAGCCAAACAGAGAAGAAGAGGAACAAUAACCAAUAGUUAGUUUUGUCUUUUCUACAUAAAAUCUCAAUGCAUAGAAAGCAUCAUGAUGAAGAAAACUGUCUCUGAUAAAGAUGUAUAUUUGUCAACAAGGAUAAAUGCAUGUAGGUGGAAAAUUCGUUAAACCGCAAAACUCUAUUGGGACUUUGAAAGUUUUGAUAUACUUUGAGGGUGUUUUAUUCUUUAAUUAAUACUCUUAUGUUUCAAAAAGAAGUAUAUUUAAAAAAUUUAUACAUAUUAAUAAACAUACAAAAUUUUGAUUAUCAAUACAUUAUUUUUAUAACUAACUAUUCAACAUAACUUUAAACUAAUAGAAUUUUAGUAUUCAUAAUUAUGUUUUAGCAAAAAAAUAAUUCUAAAACAUGUAUCUUUUUAGAAUGGAAUGAGUACGAUAUAUUAGUGGAAGCUCCUUUACUCCAGUGGUUUAACUAAGGAUUUAUUAAUGCUUCUACACCAGGAGGUAUCGGGUUCAAAUCUCAGAAAACGCAAAUUAUGCAGAUCAUGGAGAAAAAAGGUUACAAGAGGUCUUCAGUAUGGUGCAAGAACAUAUCAUCGAACAUGGAUCUCAUAGGACGGCUCAGAACGAUGCAGUCAGACGUGCAUUCUCAUAUGAUGGUGGAAUUGUCGGAUAAUUCUGUCAGUUAAAUCAAAACUGCAAAACAUAAAAAUGUAAUUAUAAAUGUCAACAGUCUCAUAAAUUGUGUAAAUGACAUCAAAUGGUUUAUAAUUCUAGAUGCUUUUCGUUGGAUCCAUUUCUAAACUCAUUUUCUUUCUUAAUUUGAAUGCGAAAAUCAAUGAAAUUACUCUACCAGAGAAGUAAAGCAAAUUUCUUUCAGAAAAGUAUUGGUAUGUAUUGCAUAUGUAUUUUUCAACAACUUUUUAUAUGUAUUAAGGGUAUGACUGGUUUCCCCACUACCACCCGUAAAUGCAAUUUUUGCGGUUGAUAGCAUUGUUGGCGUUUUACAACAAUCAUUCCGCUUCAAAGCGCUCUUAACUUCAUAAAUUCAAAAGCUGGUUCCAGCUAACGUUUAUGGUUGCGGAAGGAUAAUUUUUUUUUCUUUUUUUUUAAACAAUAUAAAUACAAAAAUAAAAAUAUUAAAUUAAAAUUUUAAAUUAGAAUUAUAAAAAUAUUAAAAUAUAUCUAUUAUAUUUUAAUUAAUAUUAUAAAAUUUUAAAAUAAAAAUAUUUUCUAUAAUUUUAAAAAAUUUAAAACUAUAACUUUCUAAAUAUAAUUUUUAUAUUUAUUAUAAUAUUAUGAUUUUUGAUAUUUUUAUAAUUAUAUAAAAUAUAAAUAUUGUUAAUUUAUUAUUUAACCGUUGUUGCGUUUGCUAGUUAACCAGUCAUAAGUAUUUCGUAUAAAUCUCUUAAUACCGUUAGAAACUGCAACCACCCGCAUCCGCAAACUCCCGCAACUGUAACCGCAACCGUUGCGUUUAAACCAGCCAGGCCCUAAAUAUAUAUUUCAGAGAAAAGAAACAAAAAUAGUAACGUGAUCCAUGCAACAUAAAAACAAUCAUAUAACUAUCCAAGUUUAUUUAAAAAUAUAUAUAAACAACAAGUUUGAAAAAGGACAGAAAACAGAUCAAAUAGAUAAUGCUCAUCAAUGUCAAGCAGACUGAGAGUAUGGGCAAGACAGAGUUUGUACCGACAAAUGUUUCUUCUUCUUCUUUAUGGUUUUAAAUUCCUUUUAAUCAAAAAAAUAUUCAUUUAUUUGGUUCUGUGUUCUUCUGAAUAAUAUAUUGGAAUCUAUUUGUGUAGUUUGGUAGUUUAAUUCAAAACCAGAAUACGUAUAUGCUAACUGUGUGCGCUCAUUGGAUUACAUAGAAGAGGAAGAGAAGAGUCAAGAUAUGAGAGACAUUGUGGCUUACAUGUUCGGCCUUUCGAACACACAUACAUUGUCCACUUGUUUCAACAAAAUAUCUAGAAUAAAAUAAUUAACAUAAGAACAAUAUCGAAUCAAACAUACAUCAUGAGCAAAAAUAAAUCUUGUCCGAGUAUUAGAUAUAUGUAUAGUAAUGAUAAGUGCUAGAUAUAUACAUAGAAGUAUGUAAAAAUCUUAUUAAAUAAAGGGUUUUUAGUAAUUAAACCCCUCAACUAAAGAUGAAUCGUAAAAAAAACCCUUAACUAAAAAUCCAGUGAAAUAAACCCUCAACUUUAGUUCCGUUAACAUAUGUUACCCUCCGUCUAAAAAACCGUGACGGAGGGUAACAAAUGUUAACGGUUUAUAAGUUGAGGGUUUAUUUCACUGGAUUUUUAGUUGAGGGUUUUUUUUACGAUUCAUCUUUAGUUGAGGGGUUUUAUCACUAAAAGUCAUUAAAUAUUAUUAAAUUAUUUAUUAUCAUUUAUACAUUGUUUUAAGAUUUAUAAGCCUUUAAAACUAAUUUAUAAAUUUUAAUACAUUAAUAUAUUUGUAUAUUAAUUUAUACAUCUUAAAUUUUAUAAUUUUUAAAACUACUUACAACUUAUUAUAACUUUGAAAUAUUAAAUUAUUUGAUAUUUGGCAAUAGUGAUAUAAAAAAAUUUGUGUGUUUAUAUCGUCAUUGUCAAAUAUGAAAUAAUUUAUAGUUUCUAAGUUAUAUUAAGUCUUAAUUAAUGUCGAGAUAAUUCAUCCAUAGUCAAUCUUUCUAUUUAGAGUAUGACGCACUUUUUCCUAUUUUCAUGAUUUCUGUCAUCCGAUUCAUACUUCUCCCCCUCCAAAAUAAUGCAUGAUUAUUUUUAUUCUCAUUGAUUUCUGAAUAACUACAUUAUAUUUUUAUUUUCUUGAUCAAUAAUAUAUUUAAAACAUAAAGUAAUACAAUAAAUCAAGAACAAUAUAGGAAAAUAGGAAAGUAUGAGCCUGAUGACGAAAAUAAUGAAAAUAAGAAAAAGUACGUCAUACUCCAAAUAGAAAGAUUGACUUCAUGGAUGAAUUAUCCUCAACACUACUUAAGACUUAAUAUAACUUAGAAACUUUCAAUUAUUUGAUAUUUGAAAAUGACGAUAUAAACACACAAUUUUUUUUAUAUCACUAUUGCCAAAUAUCAAAUAAUUUAAUAUUUUGAAGUUAUAAUAAGUUGUAAAUCGUGUUGAAAAUUAUUAAUUUAAGAUGUAUAAAUUAAUUUUAUAAUAGAUUAAUAUACUAAAAAUAUAAAUUAGUUUUAAAGGCUUACAAAUCAAUCUAAAACAAUGUAUAAAUGGAUAAUAAAUAACUUAAAAACCCUUUAAUGACUUUUAGUGAUAAAACCCCUCAACUAUUUUUGAAUCGUAAAAAAAACCCUCAACUAAGUUUUCAACAUUAUAAACCCUCAACUUAUAAACCGUUAACAUAUGUCACCCUCCGUCACGGUUUUUUAGACGGAGGGUAAUAUAUGUUAACGGAACUAAAGUUGAGGGUUUAUUUCACAGGAUUUUUAGUUGAGGGUUUUUUUUAAGAUUCAUCUUUAGUUGAGGGGUUUAAUUGCUAAAAAUCCUUAAAUAAACUAUGGAAAUAAAAGAUAGUACAUUUAUACAAAAUAUUGGCUCUUCCUUAACAUUUUACGGUAAUUUUUUUCAAAUAGCAUUUAAAAUUUUUGUCACAAAAAUAUCAUUUGAAGAAAAAAUAUCAAAAUAGUGUUUUUAUUUUAAAAUUUAUAAUAUUUAUUUUUUAUCUUUUAAAAUUUGAAAAUUCUAUCCCCAAAAUUUAUCCUUUAAAUCUAAAUCCUAAAUCUAGAUUAAUGAAUCCAAAGGUAAAAUUUUUUAAUAAAACUUAUUUUGGUUAUUUUCUUCAUUGAGAAUUUUCUUUGUGAAAAUAAAUUUAAAAAUGCUAUCAUAGAGAAUUUUUCUAUAUUUUAUUUAUUGACAUUUUGUAUGUAAACAUAUAUAUAAUAAUAAUCAAAUUAAUCAUCAUAUUUUACUUUACAUUAUACAAUAGUAUUCUAUUGGAUAUCUUGUGAUAUAAUUUACAUAUCGUUUCAAGAAAUAAGUAAUUUUUUACUUGAGAAACACUUGUUUUUUUACUUAAGAGACACCUUACGUAUUUGUUUUAAAAUUUACUUUGUUAUUUUUAAAGUAAAUUUUAAAACAAAUACGUAAGGUGUCUUUCAAGUAGAAAUUUUAUGGCACAUGUCGAUUAGACGAUCUUGACAAAAUUUCUCUGGCAUGCUCAGUUUAACUGCCUAAUAAUGCGUAUACGUGUUAAGAAAUGCUUAUACCGUAUAACGUAUUGACAAAUAUUAAAGCCGCGCUUACGAUUUAAGAAUAUACUGGAUAUUGACCCGUCCUCGAGAGGGCGGGAAUAUUUUUUGUUUUUAAAAUUUUUGCCUAAUAUAAUUUAUAUGUUUGUGUGUUUGUAUAAUCAUAUUUUUGUAUGAUAUGAAUUUAAUAGAAUAGAUAAUUUUUCUAAGUACAUUAAAUAAAAAUAAUUAAAAAAAAUGAUUAGUAAAGUAUUUUGAUAGUUUUAUUGAAUUUAUUAUAUUGUUAAACUAUAAAUUUGUGCCAUAGACUUUUAACACAUUAAUAUGGUAUUUUAUUUUCAAACAGUAAUUGUUUUUUAAAAAUAACAAAGUAUUGUUACAAUUUUGUUUAGUAAUAAAACAGUAAUUAAAUAAAUAUAUUAAAUAAAUAAAAAAAAUUUUCAUAAAAUUGGAAUUAUUUAAUUUCGUAUAUAUUUAUAAUUACAUCAUUAUUAAACAUAAUAUUACACAUAAUAAUUUUUAUAGCAAUUAAAAAUGGGUUAUGUAAAUCAAAGUCCAUGAUCCAAUUAUAAUGGGUUUCGUAAAUUAUAUGUCCAUGGCCCAAAUUGUUUUUUCCCCACAAAACCUUAUGUGAGCUUAUACUGUCUUAAUCAAGUUUUAAUUUUGUCGGUGGAUGAUGAACAAAAAAGUGAAAUCUCAUUCAGUUCUUAGAAAGCCGUAGAAGACUGUGGAAGCUGAAUCUGAGUGACUAUGUUCAAUUGAAACCAGAGAAGUUUUAAUCUGCUUUGCUCCUGUCAAGAUCUCAGGUAAUCUUUUGGCCAUGUGAUAAAUCUAUGUUCUUCUGUAAAAGUUUCAAAAAAAAUCUGACAAUUGUACUGCUGUGUGAACAUAUUACAAUUGUGUUAUGGGGUAAUGCUUCCAGGUAUGGAGCACCUUAACUUGAACACGCCAUUCUGACUUGAACGGUCUGAUGUCAGCCAAAGUCGUGAGUUCCAUGCUUAAAGGUAUUUUCUGAAUUAGAUUAAGUUUGUGAAUUCAGGUUUUAGGAAGUGUGUUAAGAGUAGAUUGUAGGAAUGAUAUUUAUAUGAGAGGAUGGCUAUAGAAACACUUGUGGAGAAGAAAAAAUUUAGUUUUUUAGUUUAAAAAUUGUUGCAAAUUACGGGAUUAAGGAGUUAGAUAACCAAAUUUCAAAAUUGAGUUUAGAAUAAUUGAUUUGAUUCCUGAAAUGUUCUUGUUUGUUGGAUAUAUAAUCAGAAAAAAAUAGAUAUGCUCCAUAUUAUUAGGAAACAAUCGACAAAACUAAGGUUAUAUAUUAUUAGCUAUCGUAAAUAUGGUGGAAAGUCUAGAAAAUAUAUUAGUAGACAAUUUAAAUGGUGGUAAAGUCCAGAAAAUAGUUUUUAAAUGGUCCCGAUUAGUAGGGGAAUUACAUAUAAAUAGAGGUUCUCUCUACAUAUUCACAUCUUUAUAUAAAUGAUGUUUAAUGUUUAAUUAAUUAAUAUCUAUUGAUUCAGUUAUCGGGUCCCCUGAUUAUUAGGCAUGUAGCCGUGUAAAAGAUAUGCUCAAACUAUUAAGGAGUGGUGGUUACUUUCGAAAUAGAAGGUCAUGUAGUGGUUACGUUUGAAAAUUAAGCAUUGCAGUUACCAUAUAAAAAAAAUAUGUAUUGUUGAAAUAAUUGUUAGACCCUACUUUUAUCAAUGGGUCACACUACUGUUUUAAUAGAAUAGAUGGUCCCGAUUAGUAGGGGAAUUACAUAUAAAUAGAGGUUCUUUCUACAUAUUCACAUCUUUAUAUAAAUGAUGUUUAAUGUUUAAUUAAUUAAUAUCUAUUGAUUCAGUUAUCGGGUCCCCUGAUUAUUAGGCAUGUAGCCGUGUAAAAGAUAUGCUCAAACUAUUAAGGAGUGGUGGUUACUUUCGAAAUAGAAGAUCAGGUAGUGGUUACGUUUGAAAAUUAAGCAUUGCAGUUACCAUAAAAAAAAGUAUGUAUUGUUGAAAUAAUUGUUAGACCCUACUUUUAUCAAUGGGUCACACUACUGUUUUAAUAGAAUAGAUUUAUGAGUUCUAUGGUUGCAAAAAGGAGACUAAUGGAACGUAUGAUAAAUCAUGAAAGUGAUUCAAAAUCAAUUAUCGAACCCCACUCAAACAGUAUGAUAGUAUUAUUCCAUGUUAUUUUAUCUUUUGAAACAAGGCUUGAUAGUAUUAAACUUUUGUUCUCCGAAAAAUUUCACGAAGGGAUUUGUCAAAAAUAACUCAAAACUUAAUUUUAAAAGUAAAAGUGUAAUUCAAAUUCAAUCAAAUGUAAGAACUCAAAAAACUAGUGAAAUUACAAAAAUCAUCUUAUGAUCAAACAAAAAAUUUGUGUUGAAUUUUAUUAUUAUAACCAAUUCGUAUGAGAAGACUUCUAAAAAAAAUAAGUCUUUUCUGAGAAAAUUUCUUUGUAAAUUUUUUCGUAGAAUAGAUCUUUAAAAUAAUUUAAUUUUUUUAUAAAAACUAUUUUGAUGGAGAAAAUAUUGAAAUCAUGUAAUUAUAAAAAUUUCUAAAUAAUGUUUAUAUUUAUAAAAUUGAAUUGUUUUCAACAUAGAUAAAUGAAUGUAUAUUGAGUUAUGAUAGUCUUUAGGGUUUGGUAAUAUGUGUUAUAACAUUGUUUGUAUUCUUAGGUUUAGAUUUCAGAAUCUUAACUUUAAAAACAAUUUACCUACAUGUGUCUAGUUUUGCGUAUACUACACACUCUAUAAGUUGAUUUUAAGUUUCAUGAAUUAUUUUUGCUAUUUAGUUAGUUAUUUGAUUGGGUUUGGGUUUGGAAAACUUAAUUUUCAAGAAGUCUUCUAACAUCUUCCCACCUAAAACAAAAUCUUUUAGAAGUCUUCUAUGGGAAAUCUUCUCAUGUAUUAAAUUUUAAAAAUAAUUAAUAAAUUUUAUAAAAAGUAUUUUGAAUGGUAAAAAUUAAACUCAUGUAAUAAUAAACAUUUCUAAAUGGUGUAAUUUAGUUUUAAUAAAAUUGAAAUAUUUUCAACAUAAAUGAGUAAAUGUAGAUUGAGUCAUGAUAGUUCUUGGUUUAUGAUUUCGUAACAUAUAGUAUAGUAUUGUUGGUAUUUUUACAGUUAGGUUUUGAAAUAUUAAUAUUUUAAAUUUUACCUAUAUGUAUUUAGUGACUAUCUAAUAACUUGAUUUUAAACAAAUUUUAAGCUUUUUUAAAUUUAAAAAAGUGUUUUUUGAUUAGUUAUUGAUUAUAGGAUUUAGAAGAAUUCCGGAAGAUUUCCCAAGAAAUCUUCCAAAAGGUUUUGUAACAUAUAGAGCAUUAAAAUACUUCUUGAGAAAAUUUCAUACAUGUGAAAUCUUCUAGAAAGCUUUCAAAGACUUCUAGUAAUUUAGAGUUUAGAAAACUUCUUAGAAGACUUCACGACAAAGUUUUCCAAUUCUUACUUAGAAGACUUCACGACAAUGUAUUUUGUGUGUUUUAUAUGUUAGAUUCUAUAGAUUCAAUCUAAUGCGACUGUUUUAUUUAUUAUUUAAGUAUAAAAAAUAUUUUUAAAGUUUUUCUCUAUUUUGACGUCAUUUGAAAUUUUUUGGAUAUACUGAUUUUUUUCAGAUUUGAGUCAUACUUUGUAAGAAUUCUCAUAAGAUUUUUUGGAAAGUUUUCUAAUGCUUUUUAUGCUAGAAUACUUCUAGGAAAGUCUUCCCUGGAAGUGAUUUCUUUGGAAGUCUUCUGAACCGAAAAUAUAAAACAUAAUUGAACUUUGUCUCCUUAUACAAAAAAAAACUACACAUUCUUUUUCUUCCUCUCAAAUGACUGGUACUCUCUAACCUCUUUCUAAUCUCUUUGAACUUGAAAACACCAAACUUUUUAUCACUUUCUCAUUUUUGUUAUGUUUUUCUCACUAAUUUAUCUUAUUUUUGUAGGAUUUUCAUUAUAUGGUUCUCAUCUUUCAUUCAUUUAAAGGUAGAUUUAUAAAUUUUGGAUAUUUAUUUUUGUGUGUUUUAUAUGUUAAAUUCUAAAAAGUUAUAGAUUCAACAUAAUGUGACUGUUUUAUUUAUUAUUUAAGCAUUAAAAAUUAUUUUUAAAUUUUUCUUUAUUUUGAAAUCAUUUGAAUAUUUUUGAAUUUACUGGAUUUUUUAGAUAUGAGUAAGAUUUUGAAAGAUUUUUUGAAAUUUCAAAUAAGUUUCAACAAAAAUAUAGGUUAUUUUAGGAUUAACUCUAAAUUUUAAGUCAUAUUUGAAAAAUUCCAAAUUUCAUAUCGACGUUUAAACUAAUGUUGCAUGUAUAUAAAUUCUGCAAAGAAAAAACCGAUAAAUGAAAACGCACAAACAUAACUGAAAUGUAAAAAUUUAAGCAAUUAAACUUUCAAAUAUUUGUCGACACCACAACUGAAAAGAAUACCAAUGUCUUCUAGUAAACCCAAACUAAAAAAAACAAAACCAAAAGAUGAAUCUAAACGGGUCUGCACGAAUAUUCAAUUUAUAUAGUUGAUACAUUAAAAUUCAAAAAAAAACAUAGAUAUGAAAUUCAUGUUUCCCAUCUGGAGUGAAAUCAUGGGUUAGAGCAAAGAAUGUGUGUCCAAUUAAAAAUGUUAUCUUCUAAACCGGACGUUUGUGGUCUGGUGGUAAAGGACUCACGGCUGUACGAUCUACCACCUAAUUUUGAAUCUCAGCUACUGUCGAUUAAAUAGAGUGAAAAUGACUGUUUCUCUUACGGUGGGUUUCCAGGCUUAACUCCGGUGAACGGUCAAUUAUUAGGCAAUAGUCGGAUCUUUUUCUUCUAAGGCAUUCGGAUACUAGGAUCAUCAAAAAAAAAAGUGUUUCUGAUAAACCCCCAAAAAAGGAGAGCAAAUUAAGAGUAUCUCGAUGAUCGUUCGAAUAAUGAUCAUGGAUUAAAUCUUAUUUCUACUCUGGCUUCGUAGAUAUUGAGUUGUAGAACCAAUCAUUACGCUUUGGCUAGUAGAAGACGAUUGGAACGACAAAUGGUAACUCGUUCAUGUUUGGCCAAUUAUGGUUGAGAGAGAGUGGAAACUAUCGUCUGAGAGAAUAUCAUCAGUAAGAAAUAGAUGAAUAAUUUCUAAAGUGCUAUUUUUCUUUUUGUGUUUGUUUUAUUUUGAUAGUUUCACAUAGAAUAUACAGAAAACAAAUACUAUCAGUUGUUAAUUUGUUAUAAACAGGAUUUUAGUGCUGUAUUUCUGGUCAAUCAUUAAGACGAAUGGAAAACUAAUAGUAUAUAUGUCUAUAUGAUAAACAAAAAAAUAAAAAUUAUUGAUUCAGAAUUAAUACAAACAAACUAGCUAUUCCUCUCAAGAACCAACGGUCAACAUUACACGUUGACUUAAGGGAAAAGUCGCCCACGAAAACUAAUAUACAAAAUUCAAAAUAAAUAGACAUGACCCCAAAAAAACAUUCAUAAGAAAAAAUAAAUCCCAAGAGAGUGGUUAUAUAAAAACUGUUAGAUGUAUUAAUAUAGCCACAAAUCUUGAGUCGAUGCUUGACGCAAUGCCCGCCAUUUGAUUCUGUCUUCUUAGCAAAGAAGAAAAACUAAAGAUAUAGUUAUAUAUUCCUUAUUUCUUGCUUCUUGUUUCUAUAGUUUCUUAGUAAUAAGUUUAAUGUUUUUAUCUUCGAGUCUUGAGUGUGGCAAUGUGAUCAAACCCUUAAGAAUCUUAAUAAGGAUCAUAAUCUCGAGUUCUAUCUGAACAUGGAGAUGAGUGAUUGAAAGACAACUUCGUCACAAGGGAUAGUGAGACCCAUGUCGUGCUCGAAUCCAAACUCUUCCUCAGCCAGUUGGAGGAGUGUCUGAAACUCAGGAUGAUCUAGCCAUGAGAUUGGGACCACGUAGCGACUACGUUGCUGACCAACGUAGACCGGGAAGUGACCCUUUGGCACGUCGUUGAAGUAGCAGUUACUUUGAUUCUUCUUUCCAAGACUUGAGCAUCUCUUCAAGAUUUUCUUUAGAGAUGCUGCUUGAGACGCUGCCACUUUGUUAGACUUCUUUAACGCCAUGAUUUGAGCUUAUUGAAACCUAACUUGUCUAGAGAGAGAAGAGAGAGUUUGGUCUGUUUUAAGAAAGGUGUGGAUGUGAAGGUGGUGGGUGGGUAUGGAGGGGUAUAUAAGGGCACAAGGAGAGAGAGAAACGGGAAGAGAUUAUUAAAUUUAUAAGAAAAAUCAUAUACUCGUAGAUAUUUUUUCUUUUUACAUAGAUUUUUUAGGUUUACGCAUGACUUUUAGAGGAUUUGUGACUAGGUUAUAUGUAUUAUAUACAUAACAACGACUAAUUCAUGCAGAAACACAUGAAAUGUUUUCCUUGGUGAUCAAUCUUAUAUUCAUGUCAAUGCAAACCAUGAACCCCGCGUAAUCCUGUACAAUCCGCGUAAAAUAUAAAUCUAAAGUAUCAUCAGAAUAUUUGUUUUAUUGGUAAAAUAUAAUAUUUAUAGUUUAUUCUCAUUAAAAUCUAACCACCUUUUAGCCAAGAAAAAAAACAAUCCAAACACUUGUUUUUUACUCACUCUAGUUUCUGAUUAUUAAUUUAUUAUUGUUUUGCAAGGUCAAUGUAUAUGCCCCAGAAUAACCAAUAGUAUUAUUUUCUUUCUGCAUCAAUUGAUAACUGAACUGAGGAAUAAUCAAUUUUCCUUUAACACUACAUAAAUUUAACAAAGAAAACACAGAAAAUGAAAUUCUUAUUUAUGUAACUUUAUAAAGAAACUAUCAUGUGGGAUGUAGGAAAAAAGGGAAAAUUUGAAGACAAAACCAUAAGAUAAAUAGAGGGGAAUAUGUGAAUGUAUAUGCAUGCAUACAAGUUUUUUUGAAAGUCUUAUAAAUAAGGUAGGGACUAUAACAGUGCCCUACAUUGUCUCCGUCUUGUAUAUUUUUUUCUAGACACAACGCUACAAAUUAAUUCAAGUGGUACCGGUUUCCUCUUCACUUAAUAGACACUCUUCUUCAGAUUUUGUCUCUACUGAAACUUCCAAGUUUAUUACAACUAAUAUGUAAAUAUAAAAUAUAGUGUGGCCGUUAAUAUAUAAUAUACCCGUUUUGCCAUAAAUUGAUUACAUUGGAAAAGGAUUACGGACGAAGUAUACGUGAGGCGUGAACCGAAGUACGUACUUGCAAAAUCACAUGUCUUUUCCUACAAUUAGAGUGGCCAGCCAACACUUUAAUGCCCAUUAUUUUUCAUUUCUUUUUAUUUAUCUACAAAUUAAUAUGGAAUAAAUCAACACAAAAAAAUUGUAGUUCCGUGGUUUUAUAUUUUUUUGGUUUAAGUGGAUCGAUCACCAAUGUCGUUUAAGAACAUAUUCCAUCAGAUCCAUAAUAUUUUUAACUUAGUGAACAAAGAUUAAAAAAGUUACAUUUAAAAAUAAAAGCAUUUUUAAAAAUAUAAUUUUAAAUCAUUUAACCAAUUAUAAAAAAAGACAGUAAAAUUUAAUUGCUUGAACUGUUUCCAAUAAAGUUAAAAAUAAUUUUAAAAUUUUAAAAUUUUAUGUAAAUUGAAACAAAACACUUCUUCUAAAACAUCAUCUCUAUUAUUAAAAGAGAAGUACCAAUAUAAAUUGCCUCUUAGUUUUCAAAAUUAUUUACAUUUGAAUGCCACUGAAGUAAUAAAUUUUCCUACCUUUUAGUAUUCUUGUCUUUUAUAGUUUAAUUAAUGCAUUUUAUAGUUUAACAAAUUAUGUUUAUUUAUUUAAAAAAUGUUUCCUAUAAUCUGGAUAAACAAUAAAUUAUACUUAAUCAAUGUCAAAAAUGUAACAAAAUUUUAUUAUUACGGGAUGGUUAUUUUUUAUUUUGGUAUAUUAACUACGUCUAAAAAACAUAAAAAUAUUAUAAAAAUACAUAAUAUAAACCAUAAAAUUUUAAAUAAUAUAUUGAAUUAUUUAAUUGUAUAAAUCAAAUAUAAAAAUAGAUAACCAUUUUAUUUUACAUUAAAAUUUUGAUCUAUAAAAAAUACAUUUGCACGAACACACGAGUUAUAUUUUAAAAAUAGAGUUGUAACAGUUGACAGAUCAAAAAAUAAAAUAAAAUUAUUCAUUCUAAAUUCUAAAAUAAUUGUGUUUAGAAAUAUAUUAAAUAAGUAUUUAAUAUAUAUAUAUGUAUAUAUAAAUUUUAAAAACAUAUAUUACUAUUUAUAUAAGAUAAAUAUAUUUUUUUUUGCAAACCAAAAAUAAAUACCUGCGCGGGUGCAUGGAUCAAGGUCUAGUUUAUAUUGAAAUAGAGAGAAUAUUGGUUAUUGAAGGUUCAUAUGACAUGUUGAAACGUAGGUCAUCCAUUUUUUGACCCAAUGGGAAAAUCACCUUAUAAAUUUUGUUAUAGUUUAUUUUACCAUCGAUUUUGGUAGGUUUGGUUAUAAAUCCAACUUGGUUCAGCUUUUUUGACAGUUGUAAAAACGUUGUUUUUUAAUUACCAAAAACCAAAAAAAAUGUUGUUCGCAUUAUCUAUGCAGUUAAUUAAUACAUGAGAAAAGAUCAAAUAUAUAGCUAAACUAUAUAACAAAUUGUCCACAUGUGAAAUUUUGAAAGUCAAAACAAAUGCUUAGGUUUGAACCUAAUCUUUUGUUUAAUUGAUAUUAUCAAAUCCAUGCAAGUUUCCAUCUCGUUUCUCCGAUGCAUUUUGUUCCACGUACUUCUGUCCUUUUCUGAUCAUUUUUUUUAAUUCCGUUUAUUUCAGUGUGAUGGCUGAUGAUUCAAUCAGCAUCCUCAAACAAUUUCACCUUUGGAUUUAUCACAAAUCCAAUGUAUAAUUGCAAAUUUAUUUAGACGGAAAUUUGAGUACAUUAAUCAAAUCCAAUGUAACUGCCAAAGAGGAAAUUUAAAAAGUGGUCGAAAAGGACUCAUCUUUUUGGCAAUCUCUAUAUUAAUUUAUCAUCUAAUUGAUUUUUAAUUAUAUGAAUACAACUUAUUUGUUUGUAACGGUAGUCGGUGUAACAUAUAUUUUAGACAGUAAAAGUGUUUCAAAGAAAAAAAGACAGUAAUAGCUACAGUUGUAGUCGAAAACAUCAACUAGAACAUGAAGAUCUAUAUGUAUGCUGAGUAACAAAAACAACUAUUCUGUAACAUCAUAGGGUACGUAUGACCAUAUGAGUAAUCAAAUCAAUAAGGACCCAAUAUUUUUUCAUCUGCUUAUUAACAAACACGAUAUGGUACUUUAAAUAAGUAGAACAAUUGGUUAGUGCUGUAUAUAAACUUUUGAUUAACAUUUUGGUUCAAAACUUUAAAUAAAGUACUAUCAUAUACUCUUUAUGUUCCUAAAUAUAAGAUAUUCUAGGUAAAACACACUUAUUAAAAAAAUUAUUUUUUAUUUAAAAAGUAUUAUUAAAACUAUAAAUUAAAACUAUUUAACCAAUUACAAAAUAAAAUUAUAAAAUUUGAUUAUUUACACAGAUUUUGAUAAAGUUAAAACUACUUAAAAAUACGAAAACAUCUUAAGGCAACAUUAUCAGUGGUCCAUUUUUUGGUCCUUAAAAUCUUUUUUUUUCUGUUUUCUGGUUUUUAAAAAAAAUAAAAAAAUAAAAAAAUAAACUUAUAGCGGGUCGCCACGUAUUGUGGGGUCCGUAAACAGUGCUAAGGGCUCAAUGCAAAAGUUUCUUAAAUUGGAACAUUAUGGCACAGUCAUUGAAAAAAGGUGGUGGGACCCACGCUUAAGGACUCUCCCACCACCACCAAUAAUGUUGGCCUUAUAUAUUGGAACGGAGAGAGUAUAUGUUAUAACAUGUGGUAUACAUCUCACUUACAACUAGUAAAGUUAGUUUAAGAUAUUAGUCUGAAUUAAUAUCUAGUCUCCUAAGAUUUGUUUUCAAUUUUCAAAUAAACCUUUCAAAAUUGUAUUAUGUUUUAGAGAUUUUACGAUAUAUCAAGAAAUAAGGACACAUGUAAAGAAUUAAGAUCAGAUCUCUCGGUCGACAAAUAAGAAAAUAGGUUAAGUGUUUGGCUUUACCUGCAACAUAAAGGGGAGAGAUAUAAUUAAAUUUGUAUCUUCUUAAAAUUAUAUGAAAAACGUUAAGAUGGAACUGUUGUCGAAAAGGGAAGAGAGGAGAAAAGUAAAAACUACACCUGAUUUUUCCGUAUUUAUAGCAUUUUAACAAAAAUGAAUGAAAACAAAAUUAAGAGAUGGUGUGUGUAGGGACAAAGGAGAAGGAGCCUGUGAGAGUAUUAAUCAGGUGGAAAUGAAAUAUAACGAAAGAAACAAUACAUGGCUGUCCGGAAUUGGCGCUUCUGUUGUGGUUAUAACUUGUAGACAUCCUUCACAGUCUUCGUUACCCCACUCUCAAUUCAUCAUCAUCUUCAAGAUCUGAUUUGUUAUUUAACAUGAUUCAAAAUCUUCAUAAGAUUUGAAGGUCUUUCAAUUUACUAGAGUUGAAUUUUGCGAGUCUACAAUAAAAUCAAUACAUUCAGAACCUUUUAAGAAUGGUACAAAAGAUGUUGAUUUGAUAACGCAGGUAUGAUGUGAUGUAGUUACAAUAUUCAAAACUACCGAAGGGACAAGACAGCUCCUAGCGACAGAAGGUACAAAACAAAUAUUAAAAUUAAUAUAUAUUUUGAAAGAGUUCUUCCCUUAUUUUAUUUCCUUGCAAAUUCAGUUUUCCAAUUCAAAAGUAUAAAAGGGACAGCUCCUAACGACAAAAUGCAAAAAAGGAAUAUUUGAACUAUGAUUUCUCUUAAUAAAAAUCUUAAAAUAUAUAUUUCGAAAAUAAAGAUAUAUUUUCUUAAAGAAUCUUCUUAUUCCUCCUUUUUAACAUCCACUAGAGUUUGACCCGCACGUGUCCGUGCGGAUAUUUUUAAUUUUAUAAAUAUAUAACUUCAAUAUUAAAUAUUUAUAUUUACAUUUCAGUGUUAUAUGUAUAAUAGCAUAAUCCCAACACUAUUAAAAUAAUAAUUUUUACAUUAAAUUUUGUGAUUAAUUAUUAUUAUAUAAUAGUAUAUUUUGAUUUCGGUACAAUAAAUUCAUUAUCAGAAAUAAUUAAAUAGAAAAUAUCUUAUAAAUAUGUUUUUCUAAUUUCUACAGUUUGUACACACAUUUUUCAAAAUUUUAUUUAUUUAUACUAUAAAAAUGAUAUUUUCUAAGGAUAAUUUAAGUUUUCAUAUUGUGUUUGAAAAAUAUAUAUUUUAACAUCUAUCAUUUUAUGAUGUUGCAGAAUUUUAUAAGUAAAUACAUUAUUCGGUUUAAUUAAUUUAAACUUAUUAUUUUAUUUAUUUUUAUACAUAGUAACACAAUCCUAUUAUUUGAGUUAAUAUUAUCGAUAUAUAAUGUUUUUUUGAUGUUUUAUGACUUUCAAAUCUUAUACUAAAUUAUUGAAAUAUUUUAUUAAAAAUAUUUUUUUUUUAUUCUUAGCAAAUUUUGUUAUCAUUAUAGAUAGACAUUAAAUUUAUAGUCAAAACUGAUUUGUUAUUAAUAUUAGUUUUAUUUUAUUUUUAUUUUCAAAUAAAUUUUUAGUUAAUAUUAAUUUAUAAUAAUAUUAUGUUACUAAUUAUGAAAUUAAUUAAUGCAUUAUUUUAGAAAUAUAUUUAAAAUUUUAUUAAGAUUUGGUUAGAUCUUUUUCAUUAAAAAUAAAAUUUAAAUUUAUAGGUAAACUACUUUGUUAUUAUCAUCUUUAUAAAUUAUAAAAUUUCUAGAAAUGAUAUAUAUUUGAAUGAUUUGUAAAUAAUCAAAGUCUAAUGAAAUAGUUAUACUUUUGUACAAUAGACUUUUUGUACUUUCGUUUUAAUAGAAUAAAUAAAUAUUUUGAAGACUGUUUUAGAUAUGCAAUUAUUUAUUAUAUGUAGUUAGUAUUUUACUAAAUUUUCAACAAAUUUAGAUCAAUUAAAUGAACAUAAAAUGGUAUUAAUUAGUCAAGUUAAUUAAUUUAAACAUUACUGAAUAUUAAAAAAAAAUACGUUUUUUGCAAAUCUAUUCCUAAUUAAGUUAUUUGUCAGCGAAAUUGUCAUCAACAUUAUUAGAAUUAGUUUAAACACAUUAACAUGUUUUUUAUUUUUCAUAUAUUACGAUGAAAGAUGAACAAAUAUGAAUUGAUUUUAUUACGUUGUAUAUUAAGCUGAUGUCACUUGUAGUCAAUCUUGAAGGCAUCUUAUAGGCAAAGACAAACAAACGCUUAGCGAAAUAAUGUUCGGAUAAGAUCGGUUUAGUUAUCAAUACUAAUACUAAUUGAAAUUUGUAUUGUUAUUGUAUAAGUAGAAAACCGGAGCAUAUGGUUUGUGUAAAGUUGGUUUGAAUUAAGUAACUUGGUUAACAUAAGUGAUAUGUGUCAUGCGUGUAUAAUAAAUGGUAGUAUUUAGAAUAGGUCCAAUUUUAAUUGACAACAUUUCACAGUAGAUAAAAUUAGGACUCUAUUUUAAUAGAGUAGAUUUUCUAAAAAACUUUAAAACUGCGUACAUAAGAGUUUUUGAAUAGGAAAACCCUUUAACAAAAAAAAAGAAGUGUUUUUGAAGAGAUUAAAAGGUACUUAGCUAAAGAAUUCACCUCAAUAUGGGAAUAAUACCUUAACAACCAAUAGAAAAAAUUAACAUAAUAUAUAUAUAUAUAUACACAUAAAUAUUUGCUAACAAAUAUCUAAAAUUGUUCAUAUAAACAUAUUUAUAUAGAAAUAAUUUUUAAAAAUAUAUAAGCAAAGAUAUAAAGUGUGAACAUGAUAUUAUCUACUCUCACGUAAAUCCGACAAAGAUAUAAAGUGUGAAUAUGAUAUUAUCUACUCUCGCGUAAAUCCGACAAAUGUAAAAAAAGUUGUGUUAUCCGUGACAAUACUUAUAUCAAGUAAAUUAAUUUAAGGGCAAUUCUAUCAAAUAUCCAUUUUUUAAGUUUUUGUCACAAAAAUAACACUUGAAAAAAAAAAGAUCAAUAGUCCCUUUUUACCUUAAAAUUUUUAAUAUUUGUUUUUUAUUUUUUAAAAUUUGAAAUCUUAUCUCCAAAAAUCUAUCAUUUAACUCUAAACCCUAAGUCUAGAAUAGUUAACCCUAGGGAGAAAUAUAUUUUUAUCCUUUAAUAAAAAUUUUUGGUCAUUUUUCUCAUUGUUUUUGUAACAAAAAUUUAAAAAGAGUUAUCUUAGAAAACUUCUCUUAAUUUAAUGUAUAUUUAAUGUAUAGAAUUAGUUGACAAAUAUAUAAAAUGUUAGUUCCACAAAGUAAAACUAAAGAAAGUUGACCGAGAGCCUGUGGUCAAGUGGUAAGGAAAAUGGUUUGGGAUAUCAUCUUAGAUUCGAUCAAUCUACCAUGCGAAACUAAAUUAUAUUCUCUUAGUCAUCCUACACGGAUAUAACCUACUGCUUUUCCGUCUAUUAAUUGAAUAUCCGAAAAAAGUCUAUAUGUAAACUGCAUUUUUUAUCCGAAAGUUAUGUUUGUGUUUUUAACAGACCCGGGUUUAAUCCUUUUAUUCUAAAAAAAACAACUAAAGAAAGUCGCAUUAGAGUUGCUCAUAUCCCUUAAACACUGUACGAUCCAUGUCUGCAAAAAUAUAUGACUCCCCCAUGUGGCACGGCACCUACCUCCCAACAAUAACAACUCAGCAAAUCUUUAGCACCACAAGCUUAUGAUAUAUUAUUUCCUCUAAUAACAUUUGAGCCACAAAAUUGAUUUUGGGUGAUUUAUGAUGAGAGAUGUUUUUUUUCUCCCACCACCACGUUCUAAGGCCACAAGAGUAAACCAUGUCUUCAGUCUUUCUACUGAUUACAACUCUUUGCAGUUUUUAAAUUACAUUUGAUGUGAGUCUAAUCUGAUAACUAUCAGUGUCACAAUAUGUACUCCAGUUUCUCCUUAUGAGAAAAAUAUUUGAAUGUGUUUAUUCUUCCAGUUCUAGAGAGACUAAAGAAGUUAUUUCAAAUUGUUUCCUGUUUGUAAGUGCCUAAAAUUGGUGGAUACUCUCAUGUUCUGUGAAUGAAAAUGACCAUACGAAAAAUGAUUUAUUACAUUAUUUGUAGAGGAGACAAUGCAUGUCGAUGUCACAAUAAUGGAAGACUUUGAUCGUUUCUACUUGUGUUUUCUGAAUUUUCAUCUUUACAACGAAAACAUGAUAGAUUCGACGACCAAUAGAAAGUUUGGUUUUGAUAAUUUGGCCCCACGUGGCCACGUGAAAACAUAUAUGUCACGUAUACAAGUUUAACGAUCUUUCAGCUUGUUCUAUUCUUUGCAAGUGUAACGGACAAUGGCCAUUGUGGCAGGUCCCAGUUCAAAUGACUAUUGAAACGAAAUUAAUAUUACAUGUUAUGGUUUUAGGUCUGGGAGAUUACGGGCUCACUAUAAGAAUUCAUCAAAAUAGUUACAGAUUGGCGAAAGAAAUUCCGUAGCCAAAUUCAUUAGCUAUAGAUAUAGCGAUAGAACGCAAAAUUUUAAUUUUGUAGUUAAUUGUAGCAAUCCGUAGCGCUAUAUAGCUAGAGAUUGAUUUUGUUGUUGAUCUAUAGCUAAAUAGCUACGCUUUGGCUAUGGAUAAGUGGUUGCUAUAAUUGUUCUAUAUAACCGUCAUUAGCUACGAUUGUUUCUAUUGCUAUAUAGCAACGAUGUCUCUGUCCUCACCAUUCCGUCCGCUUUGAUAACAAUACUAUAUAUUAUAAAUAAUCAAAAUAAUCAAAAUUAUAAUAUUUCAUAUAUAUACAUAUGAAUAUAUAAAAAUGUUAUAUCAUCAAUUAAUAUUUUCAAUACAAAUACAAAUUAUGAUUUAAUAUAUUUUUAAUCCACAUGUAUUAAACCAUAUUAGUGUAAUGGAAGUAAAGAGUAGAUGCAUUUGUUGGUUUAAGUUUAGUCACUCAUAGUAAUUAUCAAGCAUUUUUUGUUAGGUUUGCAUUGAACAUUAUUGCUCGAUGUACAUAACUAGUUCUAAGUGUAUAUUAAUUGUGGCAUUGAUCAGUUUAUAGAAUGAGUUCAAUAGUGGUUCUUCUUUCAUCACUCUUGUCAAAUACAAGAAAAAGUUUAAGCCUUGUAACAAGAAAAAGUAGUUCAUAAGACAAAUUAUUGAAUUGUCAAGGAUUCAAAACGUACGUAUGGAUGUAUGCACGCAUGUCUUUGGUAAAAUCUCUUAAAAGCAUUUUGAUAUUGUUUUGGUAUGGUUAUACUAAGUAACAAAAUUUCAUAUUUAUUUUCUUUAGGUAAGUAAAGUUCUUAAAACGUUAUGGAAGUUCUUUAUAGAAGUUUUAUUUUUGGAUGAUACAUAUAUGCCUAAGUCCUUCUCCAAUCUAACAUGAGUAACUUUCUAAACCCUAAAUCUAAACACCAAAUCUAAACCCUAAACCCUAUCUAUCCUCUCAUAUAGUAAAGAACUAAAACAAACUAAUUGUGUACUACAAGAAAUUAAAAAAUAUAUAUAUAUGAUUUAAUAAAGUAGAGUCAUAAUGUAAAUACUAAACCUCCUAGUAUUCAAAGAAAAAUGUGUAAGUUAUGUAAGUGUUAUACAUAUACCAAAUGCAAACUCAAACGUUUGCAUUUGAAAAUGAAAAAGUUUAGAGUUAUGUGAUCUUGAAACUAGAUCCGUGUGCGUUUCUAUAACCUAGUUCAAAUAUAUGCUUUCGAAAGUACUAACAUCAUAUGUGUGGUUAUGUUGAUAGUGCUUUCAUAAGAAACUCAUUGACUCAUUGUAGAACACUUGUUAGAGCAUGAAAUCCAGACUCCAGCGUCUGACGUUAUAUGAACAAACAUGUGAUGUUUGUGAGAAAAUCUUCCAAUUGAUAAGUUCAGAAACGAUGCCAACAAAGAAGCAACAACUUAGCAGGUGAGCUUCCAACAGAUCAACUAUGAUUGCUUUAUUAGAUUUUACUCAAUGGGCUUUGAAGCCCAUUGGACUAAAUACUAUGGUUGUGUUUUUUUUUCUUGCUAAAAAUUAUGGUUGGUGUUUUUGACAUUAGUAAAUAGUAAAUACUAAAACUACCCCUCUCGGUGGGUUAUAACUUAUAACCUAUCUCUUAUAUAUUAAAAGAAAAAAUUAUGAUUUCACACUACAUUAGAAAUACGGAAACCUCGCAUCGAUUUCAAUUUGAAUAUACUGAUGUGUCAGCCUUACAAUCAUUUAACAAUUAAUGUGUUUACAUAUUAAUUUUUUUUAAUUCUACAGCAGACAAUUAAAUGUGGUCACACUAAUUUUUUUUAAUUAGCUUAAUUUUAGUUCUUACAUUUUUUACUUUUUUAUUAGUAAACUGAAAUUAUUUCUGUACAACUACUGAAUAAUAUCAUUUUGAAAAAAUAAAUUAAAAAAUGAUUAAGAUUCACAUCAACUAAAAUGAUGGUAUGAGGAUAUUUUUAGAAAUUAAAAGUUCUGUAUUUGUCGAACUUAGCCAUGGUUGAGGCUUCUGUACACGAAUGCAAUAAAUAAUUGUGAUUGGUUAUGAAUUAAAGAAAAUUGAGAUAAAAAAAUAUCACACACAAAGUCGGAUCUUUAAUUAAGUCAAAUAUUAUUUUUUACAGAGUUUUCAUAUCAGACCAAAAAUUAUAAAUACAAUCAGAUUGCAAGAAAAAAUCAGAAAUCAGAAAAGUUUGAUAAGAAAAUUCGUGAAAUCGAUUGAAAAAACAGAAUUCGGGUGUUGAGUGAGGAGAUCACAUUAUUUUCCACGCAACUUUAACACUUUUCACUCGAUUGUAUCGUGUUUUUGUUAUAUUUACCAAGAAUAUUUUAUAAGAAAACACAUGUUAUUGGUUUUAAAGUAUAGUCCAAUAAUUAUGUACUAGGAUAAGACAUGCGCUUUACGCAGGGUGAGUUUAUUUGUAUAUAAUAUCGACAAUUUUUUUAUAUAUUUGAUCUUUUUUUUAUACAUAUACAAUAUUUUUUGUUGUUAUUAUAUAAUUUCUUUUCGAUAGACCGAAUCAGUUUUUAUUAAAAAUUGUGAAACUAAACUAUAACAAUUCUAUCAUGGAUUGAUCGGAUUAGACAUUAAAAAAAUUACACAAAAACCAUUUUUUCUACCAAACACAUUCUUGAAAAAGGUGAAAAGUAUUUUUACCACAAUUGAAUUAUUUUGAAAUUUAUCUUCCAUAUAGUUUUGAAAAGUUUCAGAUCAACCCUCGAAUUCAUACAUGUCAUUUUAAUAUUUUUCGUCGUAUGUUUAAGGAAAACUUACACUUUUAUAAUUUAAAGUCGCUUUAAAAUUUUCAAAAUAUAACAUAUAAAAAAAUAACAUAUAAGGUUUCCUCGUUUUUGUAAUUUAAAGUCGUUUUAAAAAAUUUUAAAUAUAACAUAUAAGGUUUCCUUAUUUUUUUAAUUUAUAGUCAUUUUAAAAAAUUCAAAAUAUAAUAUAUAAGAAAAAAUCUAAUUUUUUUAUUAUAUGGUUAAUAUGAUUGUUUAAUUUUUUGAUAAUAUAAAAUUAAACAAAAAUGAAGAAUGAUUCAAAAAAUGUUAUCAAAUCUUAAUUAUUCAUAGUCAUUAAUUGUCAUAUAUAUGUUAAUCAUAUUAGGUAAUUUUGUACUUUUAUUUAAGGAAAGAAUACACGCUUCUUAUAUUUUAGGUUAAUAUAAUGUUUCCUAGUAAUUGAAUUUGGACCAACAUUUUUCAAUUGAUUCUUAAGCUGUCACGUAAGCUAAAUUGAUAUCAUAAUUAAGUGACACUUAAGCAUGAUCUCUUUUUAAUUUGAAAAAACUUAAGGUUACAAGUUUUUAAAUGAUCCUCAAUUAAUAUAUAUGAGGUGUUAAAUAAACCGUGAAUAUUUUUUUACAUUUAUUUUAUUUUGCUUUAUAUUAGUAGAAUAAAGUAAGUCUAGGUAAAACAUCAAGAUCCAAAGAACCAAAUUGAACUAGAUUUGAAAGUAAUACUAAACAUAAACUAAAAUUGAUUAAGUAUUCAGAUGGAUCUAAAAGUUUAAUAUCCAGAUAAUCAGAUCCAAAUCUAAUCCAAACUAAAAUAUUUUGGAUACCAAAAGUAUUUAAAUCACAAUUAUAUAUUUAAAUAUGUUAAUUAUUUUAAAUUUUAAAUUAAUAUAGUCACAAGUAAAUAUCUAAAAAUAACAGAAAAUAUUCAAAAUACUGAAAAUAUUUAUUUGUUCUCCAUAUAACAAAUCUUUUGGAAUAACAUACAAUAAAUAAUCUAAUAAACUAUUUAACUCCUUUGGGUUAUUACCUAGUAAAUCAUUAUUAGUCCGCCGUAGAAGUUUUUGGAGUCCAAGACUCAAAAAGAGGAUCAAAAGUAAACGAACAUCUCUUCGUUCAAAAAAAAAAAAGUAAACGAACAUCUCUUCCGGCCGUACAAACCGAAACUACGAUAGUGUGUGAUACGCGAUAGAGAAUGGAGCCAAUCGACAACAAAAAACAACAUUUUCCCCGCAGGUAUCAGCCAUCACAUCAGAUCUUAAGAUUGAUUCGGAGUUUCUAACCACUUGGCUACCUUUUUUAUCUAGAGAUCUCUGCUGAGACUGCGUCCAUGUGCUCUUAAUCAAUUAUGGUGGAAAGUGGAAAGUACAUGUGUCAACUUCUCAAAUGGUUUAGGUAGCAAACAAUAUUGAUGACAAACUUACAAUUAUGAGCCCUUUUUUCAAAAAAAAAAAAAAAAAAACUUACAAUUAUGGUAUUCUUUUCGUUUUAUGAUGUUUUUCUAGAAAGAACACCAAAACAAAAGAACGUUUAACCAAGUCAGAGACUCAGUCAGAGGUAAGCUGUUUUGCCUUAAUAGUGUCAGGUGUGGCAAAGAAUACAGAACCUAAUGCAAAACAAGCUUACCUCUCUGCAAAAAGACAUAAAAAAGCUCAUGUCACAAAGCUGUGGUUAUACUUAUUCAAAUAUGGGCGUCACCAAAAUUCCGAGACACUAAACCGGUGAUGAUAAUGUACUAGUCAGAAACGCGGGAUUGAAUCUACUGAACUAAGGUACACCGUACGUAGUCCGUACGCAGAACCUUAUCGGUGUCGGUAUAUAGCUAUUGCUUCUAUCUCUCGAGCCUUGUUGACCAAUGUGUAACGUUGCUGGAUUUAGCUUCUUUCACGUUCCUGUCUCUAUCAUUUUAUAAUGUAAUCGCUUCAUUCAUGUGAUUAAUUAAUUAACUUUUAGCUUUGUAACGCUGUAAAUUGCUAAAUGUCGAUAUGGUAAUAUACUAAUGGUACAAGUCGCAGAAAUAUAAUAAUCAGGUAUAUUACUUAUUCACAUGGAAUACGUAUACGCUCUGUUCUAAAACUCGGACGCCUAGCUGAGUAGGCGUCCGGCUCGGCGCUCGGCGGCAAGCAACCGCGGCGAAUAAGGCCAAUACGGUUCAACUACUCGGUUGACCAACAAAUCGGUCAAAUAACCGCUUAAUCGGUUUGAAACCGAUUUUUAACCGCCUAAAAGGUCGAACAAAUUUAAACUAUUGGGCUUCUUAUAGAUUGAAACCCGAAUGCAAUUUUCGAAACCAACCCUGAAUGACUACUUAUAGGCGUCUACAUCAGCUUCCCUCUUUAAAGUUUACUGAUGUGGGACUCUGUUUCGUAUGUUUCUAAAAUUUUUUUACCUAAAAUUGGAUAAGCCAUGCCCGAGGUUCGAACCCGGUACCUUAUACAACAUCAACAUCAUCAAACACCAGCAGACCAAGGCGUGUUUUGAUGUUUAUGCAUAUAUUUCCUUGUAUAUAAACUUUGUUUCAAUAAAAAAUAAAAAUAUGACACUCAUCUUUGCUAAUAAUUAGUCUUUGUUAAACAAAAUAAAUAUAAAUUUCGAUAAUAACAUACCAAAAACUAUUACAUUCUACUAUAUUUAUAUUAUAUAUCUAAUUUAAAUAUUAUAAUAAAUAAAAUAAUAAUAAAAUUAGUCCCCGUAUAUACCCCGAUUAAUCCCCGAGUUUUCGAUAAAUCGUUAGGCCCGGAAUUGCCGUCCGACUAGCGCCUAGCGUAUUUUCAAACAGGGCGUACACGUAUGUAUGUGUAAUGUAGUUAUGUAUUAUUUUAAUUUAUAUAUAAAUGGAAUAUGACGAGAAAGCACAAAAUUGCUUAUAGUAAUAGAAGGGAAUGGUGUCAAUCUUCUGACGUCACUUACGAAGUUACGAUUGUUUUAUACAAAGUAGAAAAGUUACGUUAUUUGGCUUUUAAAGAUGUCAAAAGUCUUGAAGAUAAUCCUUCUUUGAUUAAUUUUAAAACCGGAACAAUGUGUCUUUAUUUUUUGUUGAAAGUGUUGAUCAUCCUUCACAGUUAAGCUUAAAGGUAAAGGAAAAAAAAAAAGACUGAUCGAAUGAGUAUGAUCCACAAGAUUUAGAUAAAUUAAAGUUUUAUGAAAAAGAAUUGAUUCGACCGGCACUAACCACACCAAUUGGAAUUUGAUAGCAAGCUAUCGGCACGUGUUUUGGGUAUCAAAGAUGAUCAAACACGUGGUUGGAGAAGUAGAGAUUACAGUAGUUUGCUUAAAACAAUCACUCAAUCACCAUCUUCUAUAACCAAAAUAUGCUCUAUUAGAGCAUCUCUAACCCAUAGCUAUUUCCACUUCUAUAAUAGCAUUUAGAGGUGAAAUUGCUCCAACCCACCUCUAUUUCUUCUUCUAUAAUAGAAAUUUCUAUUUUUUUCCUUUAUUUAUAGAGGAAGAAAUAGCAUUCCUUUAUUUUUUACUCUACAUUUAUAGAUUACUAUUUUAUAGGAAUACAUUGAAGCAUAUCCCAUCUCUAUUAUAGAGUUCCUCUAUUUUAGAGGUGAAAAUAACAAAAAAUACAUUGGAGAUGGUCUUAGCCUCUCUACGAGAUCAACUUGAAAAAUGCCUAAGGGAAAUUUUUCAUAAGUUCCCGUUUAACUGUUUAAGACAUAUCAAAGUAAUGGUUUUGACAACAACUUAAACUUGUGAUUAUCUUUGAAACUAUCAGUUUAAAUAACACUUAUUUGGAUCAUUUGGUUACUAGAUAAUCUAUCACUGUUGGAUUUACUGAAACUUCCACGUGAAUUGACUUUGUUCUUUCAAAAGUUACCAUGCACAUUAAAAUUCAAAAGCUUAGGUUAAGUAUUUCUUUUUUGUCACGAAGCUUAGGUUAAGUCAAAGUUCAAUGAUUUGACACUUAUAAAAAUGAGGUUAAUAAUCUCCAUCCGUGAUUCCGGUUCUUUUGAACUACCUCCUCCUCCUAAAUAAUUAUUACACCAUAUAAAUAAAAUAAUUCAGUGGACUUUUCUUCAACGAAUAGUAAUUAGUAAGAAAAUAAAAUAAAUAACCGACUUUUCCUUGAAUGAGAGAACCAUAAUCUCUCGGUUAGAAGAUAAAUCUGAGAAUGUAUGCAUAUUACUUGAUUUUUAUUUUAUUGUGUAAUCUAGCGAAGAGAAAUUUCUCCCCGGAUAAUAAGAAAAUCGCAUAAAUAUUUAACAGUAUAUGGUUGUAUGGUGGGAGGCAAACCUUAGAUGUAUAGAAAGACUUUUCAUCAACCUUCUAAAAAUCUAUUUCUGUCUUCUCAGUAUCCAACAAACAAUGUAUGGUCGAAAUAACGUUUCCAUACAAGUAGACAAUCAUGAAUAGAACCCUUGUGAGAAGAAUCCGGUUUCGAAUUUCCAUUAUAAUUUAGAAGUUGCAUGUAUUUAAAUUAAAAUAUAUCACUAAAAUCAUAGUUUAUUAAAAAUCAAAUUACUUGAUGUCUUGAUGAGGUUCAAUAAAAAUCAAAUUACUUUUCAUCUAAUUUUUAAUAUGACAAUUACAGCCACAGCGAUCUUACGUACAUUCUGCAAUAAUUCCAACUAGAUAAGCUCUUCAGGAUCCGACCGGACUAACUCUACUUCACCCGAUCGGCCUUAUAAUCCUCUUGUCCGUUAGUAUUUUAAUAAGCCACUUAACCUUUUAUGUAGCAUGUAAUUAAAAACACUAAUUGAGUAUUAAUCAAGCAAUUGAUGACUAAUCGCUUCUUCCCCUAUAAAUAGAUCCGAUCCUUCCACUACUUCUUCAGUCUGACUUUCCCUCUCUCCAACAAAAACAACAAACGCAGCCGUUUCAUAGCAGAAAGAUGUUUUCUUCUUCUCCAACUUCUUUCGCUCAUACACUCCUCUCUUCUCCGCCUCUCUCCCCCGUAUCUCCGCCAUCUCGCACAACUAAGAUCUCGCCUCUUCUCGCCUCCGCCUCGUGCUCCUACACCUGCGCGGAGGACUCUCCCAGACUGCAUCAGCUACAGCGGCGUUUGACGACGGCCACCGCUUCGCUCUACGAGAUUCUUGAGGUUCCUCACGGCGCGAGCCCCCAGGACAUUAAAUCGGCUUACCGGAGACUGGCCAGGAUCUGCCAUCCCGACGUGGCGGGACUUGAUCGGACGAGCUCUUCUUCUUCGGGGGAUGAGUUCAUGAAGAUCCACGCGGCGUACUGUACGCUUUCUGAUCCUGAGAAACGCUCUCUUUACGAUCGGAGGAUGCUUCGGAGGAGCCGUCCUUUGACCGUCAGUACCUCCGGGAUGGGAAGUUACGUUGGUCGGAACUGGGAAACUGAUCAGUGCUGGUAGCGAGUUGACUCGGUGACCGUGCUAUAAACAGGCAGCGAUAAUUAUGGGCUUAACGUCGUAAUUAAUACUAUUAGUAAAUAGCUGACACGGACGUGGAUUAUUGUGCUAUAACGUUGGUUCCGUGUUACGUAGGAUCUCCGUGUUUUUUACCUUGUGAAUGAUCCUAUAUUGUCAAUGAAAAAUAUAUACUCAGUCUAAUUUCGCUCUUAUGAUUGAUUAUCUAUAAAUUAAUUUAGAAUAUGUUUGUUUAAGAACUUAUAAUACACCCAUUUCCAUGCAAAUUCAAAGUAAUCAAGAAACAAAUCUUAUAUGAAUUAUGCCCACGUUAAGAUUAAGGUUUUGUUUGUAUGACUGACGUUAUCAUUUUCUUAUAAUAUACCAAUAAUCAAGAAACAAAUUAUAUAAUAUGAUUUGCUUAUAAUAUACCGAUGUCGGUUUGUAACAAUACAUUUCGAGUCCAAUUUGAUGGAAUGCAUCCAAUUUAACAAAAAAAAAAGAAAUAGAAUGCAUCCAUAAGUUAUUUUAUCAUCUGGCCCACAAAAUGACUGGUAUAUAUUAUACAACACGUUAACAUGGCCAAUGAAAGAAGAUUUCUUCAAUGUGAACCAAACAUAGCCAUCAUUUUUAGAGUUAUUUCAAGCGCUAGUUGACAGAUUCAGAGUUAGUAAAUGUGGAGGCCAACCUGAUUAUAGCAAUACAUCCCGUCCCGAGUCCUCUUUUUAUCGAUCAUUCUAAUAUUAUAGCAAUACAUUACGAUCAGUGGCGGAGGUAGAAUUGUGUUUCACUAGGGUCAAUAUUCAUAUAAUCAAAUGACCAAACAUAAAAUUUUAUUGAACAGGUUCAAAGAGAAUGUGUAGACUUAGAUCAUGAUUCAUGAGGGUCAAUUUUACUUACAUAAUACUAAAUUGUCUAUCAAAUGCAAAUCGUAUAAGCAUAAAAGUAAAAUUUGUCAAAAAUCACACGGGUCAAUUGAUCCUCCUCGUAACAAGGUGGCUCCGCCACUACGAUUGUGUACCUAUUCAGCUGGGUGGUCACAGAAACAAAAAAAAUCUGAUAUCAAAAAUUGUAGCACCGCCUUGUUUGGUGCGAUUCUCAUUCUACUUAUAUGCUCAAAUUGUUAAGCUAUUGUUACAACUCAUGAGUAUACAUAUGUAUAUGAUAUGUCCACACAAUCUUUCUUUUAUUUAUAUCGUUUGACAUUUGGGAUAUAAACCCAUUCAACUCAUGCAUGUUACAUGAAGAAAAAUAGGAUUGAAUGUUAGACAUGGUGAGAUGGAACUUGGAAGCAUUAUUGGGACAAAAGCAUGAAUAAUUUUAUUGAGUUGAAUAUUAUAUGCAUGACUUUUGUUGAUAAAUGAUUAUAAUAAUAACUCGCACGUCAUCUUUAGGUUUAUUGGGGCCUAGAGGCGACAAAAGUAUACCCCGCUAGAUUGCGGAAACAAGAAAAGUAACUCAUGUAAUCAUGUAAUACUAUUUUCAAUGGUUUACAUUAUUUUUUAUUUUAAAAAAUAAUAAAUUUAUAAUAGAAUUGAGUAUACUCUAAUAAUAUUCUAUUUAAAGCGAAAAAUAGAAUUAUGAACAAAAAAAUAAACAAUUUACUUUAAAUAUAAAGUAAAUUCAUUUUUAUUAUAUUAUAGAAUAAAAAGUAAAGUACAAUUAGAAUAUGUUUAUUCUAAACUUUAUUUUAAAGUGGAAAAUAAAAUAGAGUUGAAAAUGCUCUAAAUUGUUAGAGCAACUCCGACAAUAAAAAUUCUAGAGAAUUUCUUUAAAAAACAUAUUAAUAUUAUAAUAAAUUAUAAUAAAAUAACUAAAAGUUAAUUUUAAAACAAUAAUUUAACUAAUCUAUUGUUUACAGAUGUGAUAUCAAAUUUUAAUGGAGUUCUAAAAAGUUUAAACAUUAAAACUCUUUUCUACUCUCUCUCUUUUCUUUUUCUUAAAUACUCACUUUAGAAUUUUUUUGAGAUUCCUUGUUGGAGGUUCUCUUGGAUCUUCUUCUGCCAUAAACUAUUGCCGUAUUUCAUCUUAUUUGCUGGGACUAAAUCCUAAUAUAAAUAUUGCGUACUGUAAUCUAGAAGCUAAAGGAAAUCACGUGAAAGUUAAGUUCAAGUAGUACUGUGCUGAACAUUUUUAAAACAUGAUUAACAAGAGUUCUUAAGAGUGAGGUUCCUAACGGGAUUUAAGAACCCGUUCUUAAUUUUAAUAAAGAAAAAUAUAAUCAGUUCUUAAAUAAGUAUUUAAGAAUUGGUUCUUAACAUUUUAUUUGUUAAAAUUAAAAACCGAUUCUUAAAUUACGCUAAUAACUUCAUCUCUAAGAACUUCCAUUAAUUAUGAUCAUAGCUGUUUUUAUCUUUUUUUUUAUGCAUAUAUAUUUUGGACGUUUAGGCUGAGAGACAUGCUCAAUUUUUUGAUCUAUAGAUUGAUUAGAUUCAUUGUAACUUUUUUUUUUCAUUGUAACUGUUGCCCAAAAAAAUAUUCAUUGUAACCAGAUGUAUUCGUUUUGGAGAGAGAAAAAGUUGUAUGUUAUAAAACUAAUCUAUUCACUUAUUUAUUACGAAUGAACAAACGAACGAGGAAGCACCCGCGGAGAACACUCUUAGUUCUUGUAUAAAAGUAAUUUUAACGUGUUUUGUAAUAUCUUUAAUGCUACUUUAAUUAGUAGGAAUAGUACUUACAAUCUUUCUUGAUUAUAACUAAAAGCCUAUAACUAUAGAGUACAUUUAAGAAGAGAAAACAUUUAUUUAAUCAAAUCAUAAACGUAGUCUUUUUUAGAAUCUCAAUAUAUAAAUAUGAAACAUGGCGCAGAAAUAAAUAAGGUUGGUUUUAACUUUUAACAUUCGAUGUCACCACACACUUGUAGAAAACCCAACUAGCCUUACCCAAAAGAAUGCAAUGUCUCUUGGGCCCAAUAUAAUUUAUCCAGUCACAUCUUCUUCUUCUUUUUAUUUUUAACACAUUCAGUCACAGCUUAACAAUAUAAAAUUCAUAAACAUUUCAUUGUUCAAAACUCUCCUAAGCUGUUUUUUUGUCAUCUGAUGGAUUAAUAUCAAACUCUCCCUAAGCUGUUAAAUAGCUAUUUUCUCAACUUUUUAUUAUUUUGAAAUUAAAAAUUGUAAUCAUUUAAAUUUUGUAUUAUUAAAAUACAACAUUGUAUACAAACUAGAAUUGCACAAAUCAUUAUUCCAUAACUUAAAUAGAGUUGUUUUGAUUGAUUGUCUCUUUGUUUUAGCAUGCCUAUUUCUCCUUAGAAUAUGUUGUUUUAAAUUACACAAUCGGAUAUGAUGUCAGUCAAACAAAAGUAUAACAAAUGUACAUGUACAUAGAAUAUAGUUUCUUAGACAGUAUAGUACUGAACGAGUUUAAGGAAUGAUCCCAUUCUGAUAUGUUGAUAUUGUUACCUGUUAUACACCACCACCAGCCAUUUAGAGAAUGUCUUUGUCAUUUUUUAGAAUUUUUAUUUAUUUAAUCUAGUUUACAGUUUCAAUCAUAAUUAGCAAAAUUAAUAAACACUGAUGACGAAUCUUCCUAACGGAAGUAUCUGGAAGCCCAAGUUUGGUUGUUCACCUUUUCCUGUCCAUAUAAAGCCACACAAUCAACUAUUAUCAUUGCUUAAAAAGAGUUAUCAUUGGUUAGACUAUAGUAAGACACAUGUAUAAAACUUGAUUAGGUUAAACAUCAGUGUUCAUAUCUUUGGAUGAUUGGAUCCUAUAUACCAAAAGCAUCCUAAUGCUCUCACUUCGCAUUUAUCAAUUAUUUAUUUAAGGUUCCAUUGCCAUUUUAGAUGUCUCUUGGAAUAAUUGUUGGUUUAUAAGAGAACUUUGGGGUUCGGGAUCAAAUGUUGAUGACAUUUGAAUAGUUUUCACAAAACGAGAACAUGUUAAAGAUGGUUAAGUUCGGCUAAGUAAAGGUUAUAAUAAAUGGUUAGUCAAAUGAGAUUAAAAACAAAUACAAAAAUUGAAAAAAAAAACAUUUGGCGGAUUAUGAAUGAAAAGUUGAAGAAUUUUUGGUCUGAUACCAUUUCAGAUUCUUGGGUUGCAAAAGAGUGAGCAGUUGUUUUGAACACAAAGAAUCUAAACAUAAACCAUAGAAACGAAACCUAUUUAAACCGAAACUUAUAACCAAUAUAACAUAACCGGAAUAUGUUACUGAUAACAUGAAAACCGGUUUCAUAACCUCUAAAAUGGUAAAUGUUGUAGACUUGUAGUUUUAGGUACAGCUGAAGCAAAUAUCACACCAACGAAAAGUAAGUGCAAAUGCAAACAACGAUUAAGGCCAUAAUCGACAUAUAAAUGUUAUAGGAAUUGAGUAAGUUUCUAUUGAAAGAAACAUACAUAGCACCUAAUCCAAGUUGUACAUAAACAUAAAUAACUUGUAACAAUGAAAGAAGCAUGAACCAACCAUGUUGAUAUAUCUCCACAUCGCACACAGGUAAAGCGUCGAAUGUCGUUGACCCAACACCUUGUCGUUUAUUCAUAUAACAAUCUUACUAAAUCCAUAUCCAACGUUAGCCACUAUGUCUCUUUCCCAUAAUAACUCAAUAAAUAAAAUAAAUUUUGUAUUCCUCUCCUGAACCUUUUAUUCUACAUUCCAAUUUGAAUACUAAAACUACUCAAGAAAAAUCAAAAUCAUUAUACAUGUUUCAUUUUGUCAUCUUUUCAUAAUAUAAUAAUUAACAGUGACACGACACGACACAACACAACACAACUUGGGUGGAUAGUAGAUACUCUUAAGACCCCGUCCUUUGGAAGAGAGAAGAGGGCAGAAGAAUCUAAGGAUGCAUCAUACACUACGACUUCUCUUUCAGCAUUUUUCUGCUCACCGCCUCUUUCAUCCAACACAUUUAUGUUUAAUAUUAUUCAAUUCUUUUGUGAAAAUAGCUACUUCAUUGAAAUUUUCCUUACCGGAAAAUUCCUCUCCCGGCUACAUACAAACUAUGAUACUCAUCAUGAACAUACAAACUAUGUACUCAUCAUGAACAUACAUUAGUCUACGUUAGUGGUGAACAAAAAAAUUUGUCUACGUUAGUGAUGGGUCAAACCUACCAAACCAACAAGUUAUGGCCAUGGGGUAUUGUGACUAUUCGAAAGAUGCAAUGGAUCGUUUGAAUACAAUUACGUAUAUAUAAAUAAUCAAAAGGGACAAGCUCUAUGUAGAUCACCGACAUCAAGACUGAUCAUAAUUCAUAUCCAUAUGCAACCCAUAUUGGCAUACUGCACGAAUCAUACGUAUAAACAAUUACAAGCAUUAUAAUAAUAUUAUUUCCUAUGAUCCAAACAAAAAAUUCUUACAUAUUUUAUGAACAAAAAGAAUAAUAACGUGACCUUGUACGGCACAAUGGCCGACUAACAUAGACAAAGGCGGCAUGGGCUCACGUGAAAACCGACCUUUCUAAAAAAAAAUCUUAAGCCCUUUAAAAAGAUUCAAUCCCCAAAACCAAUCUCUCUCCAUUUUCUUUUUCACUCUAGUUUCUAUAUUCUUUUUCUUUCCAUAUAUAUAUUCACACUCUUCAAACAUCUCUCACCAGAGCAUAAACAGAGUCACCGGAAGUCUCUAUCUCCGGCGACACACAAAAACAAAAAAAAGUUCAUAUAUUUAGAUUCUUGUGACUAUCUGCUCUAAUGGGUCAAUCUCAAAACUCUCUCUUUCUUUUUCUACUUCUUGUUUUCAUCUAUGGCGUUUCCUCCACCACUUUCACCGUCGUUAACCAGUGCAGCUACACCGUCUGGCCUGGCCUUCUCUCCGGCGCCGGAACCGCUCCUCUACCCACCACCGGGUUCUCUUUAAACCCGACUGAAACACGCGUCAUACCAAUCCCCGCCGCUUGGUCCGGCCGUAUUUGGGGCCGUACUCUCUGCACACAAGACCCAACCACCGGAAAGUUUACUUGUGUCACCGGAGACUGCGGUUCAUCCGCCGUCGAAUGCUCAGGUUCCGGCGCCGCACCUCCGGCGACGCUAGCUGAAUUCACCUUAAACGGAGCCGGCGGUCUCGAUUUCUACGACGUCAGUCUCGUCGACGGAUACAACAUCCCUAUGACGAUCGUCCCACAAGGCGGCGUCUCCGGGAACUGCACCACCACUGGCUGCGUUGCGGAGCUCAACGGCCCGUGUCCUGCUCAGCUGAAAGUGGCGACGACGGGGACUGAAGGAGUGGCUUGCAAAAGCGCUUGUGAGGCGUUUGGGACGCCGGAGUAUUGCUGUAGCGGCGCGUUUGGAACGCCGGACACGUGUAAGCCAAGCGAGUACUCGCUGUUCUUCAAAAACGCGUGUCCGAGAGCUUAUAGUUACGCUUACGACGAUGGAACUAGCACUUUCACUUGCGGCGGAGCUGAUUACGUCAUCACUUUCUGUCCUUCUCCUAACCCAAGGUAAUAAUAUUUAUUUUCAUUAUUCAUUACAAGAAGUUAUGAUUGUCUUCAAUCAUCAAGUGGAACACAUGAAUUAGAAUAUUUGAGUACAAAUUGAUUAUGUUUGAGAUGAAUAAUUUCACUUUUUUGUUAACGUUUUGAAAAAUUGAAGAGGUCAAAUCACCGUAUAAAAAUGAUGACAUAUGCUUUUUAAUGUUUUCAUAAUGGACCGUAUUUUUCUGUCGAUUUGUGAAAUCAUAAGAAAAACGACAUUUUCAUUUUCACCAGUUGGAAUAUAAUGAUAUCAACAUUAGUAAAUCAAAUUAAAUUAAAAUAGAAAAUAUAUGAUCUUUUCGAUUUCUGGCAUAAUAGUUUUUUACUUACAAACGUCGGUGAACUAUGCCCAUGUGUGGUUCGACACGGCUCUUUUAAUUUGUUUACUAGAUUUUGACCCGCCCUUUCAAGAGCGGGUAUAUUUUUGGAGCGGGUAUAGGAGCGGGUAUAUUUUUGUUUUAAACUUUUUUUGAAUGAUUUAAUUUUAUAUUUAUGUUUAUUAAUCAUAUUUAUGUCUAAUGUUAAUUUACUUUAGUAUAAUUUUUAGUAAUUAUAUUAAAUAUGUCAAGUUGCAUAAAUAUACAUAUCAUAUGUAUUUCAGAAAUUAUUUUUAAACUUUAUUCAUAAAAAUUACAACAUAUUAUAUUUUUUUAAUAGUUAUCUAACAUAGUUAGUCAAGAAUAUAUGUAUUAAAAAAAUCCGAUUCGUAAUCGACCCAAAAAUCAAACUCUAAUACUCUAUUAGACAUGACUUAUAUAUUUGAAUGGUUCUUAAAAUGUUAUAUCCAAAAACCAAUAUCAAACCCAACCCGCACCGAAAACCGAACAAUGUUUUUUGAAAAAUGUUUGAAAAAUUAUAUUUUUAAUAUAUUCUGUUAAAUAUAUAUAUGUAAACGGGUUAAUAUGGUCUUCAAUAACUUUAAGUAAAAUCACAUUUAAUAAAUAUUUUUAAUCGAAUAACCUAUUUAAAACCCGUUAAACUAAUUGAGUUUAUAUGAAUAUUUAUUUGUAUUAAAAUUCCACUUAAAUCCUGUUAAACCCUAUUUUUAACUUCACAUGCUUUGCUAAUUGAUAAAUUUAAUGUAUGUGUAAAAUAUUUAAAAUUUGAAAAAAUUAAUGUCUAGUUGAAUAAAUCAUAAUUUCUUGGGCUAAGAUGUAAGUUAUGUUUUUGUAGUGUGAUAAUAAUUUCUGAAAAAAAUAUAUCAAAGUUUAUUAUAAUUAUGAGGAAUAAUUAUCAUAUCAUUAUAGAAAGAGAUGUCAAUAAUGUAACUGUAUACAUAAUUAUAUAAAAUAACGUGUUAUAUUAAUCAAAUAAAAGGUUAAAAUUCUAAAAAUAAUUUUUAUUUGAACACCCAAUAACAAAAAACAUAACAAAAAUAUAUGGCUACAAAAUUGUAUUUUUAAUGUCGAGCAUUAAUUUUAACCUUUAUAAACGUUUAUAUUUUUAUAGUACAUGACCAAUUGUCUAAGGGGUUUUUUUUGGUAUUACACAUGUAUUGCUAUAUAUAAGGGUUUAUUUUCUUUAAAACACCAAAUAAUGAAAAAAAUACAAAAAUAUAGUUUUAAAUUUUUUUGUUGCCAUAUACAUUGUCAUUUAAAAUAUGAAAUAUGACUUAAAGUGGUUAUCCCUUUAAAAUAGGACUUAAAGUGGUUAUCCCUUUAAAAUAGGACAUUAAAACAUAUUGAUUUACAUGCAGUUAUAUAACAUUAUGCAGUUAAGUUUUAGAUACAGUUAUAUUUUAAGUUGGACUCAACUAUUAUCAACUGGGCAUGUUCCUAAUUUAAUAGUAUUGAUUUAUAAACGUUUAUAUUUUUAUAGUACAUGACCAAUUGUCUAAGGGGUUUUUUUUGGUAUUACACAUGUAUUGCUAUAUAUAAGGGUUUAUUUUCUUUAAAACACCAAAUAAUGAAAAAAAUACAAAAAUAUAGUUUUAAAUUUUUUUGUUGCCAUAUACAUUGUCAUUUAAAAUAUGAAAUAUGACUUAAAGUGGUUAUCCCUUUAAAAUAGGACUUAAAGUGGUUAUCCCUUUAAAAUAGGACAUUAAAACAUAUUGAUUUACAUGCAGUUAUAUAACAUUAUGCAGUUAAGUUUUAGAUACAGUUAUAUUUUAAGUUGGACUCAACUAUUAUCAACUGGGCAUGUUCCUAAUUUAAUAGUAUUGAUAUCGCAAGUAAUUAUAUAAGAUAUAAAGGUUAUUUUUUGCACCAACAAAAAAUAAAAGGUUAUUUUCUUUGAACAUUAUAUAAACGUUAUUUUAAAUAGAUGCAUUGUCUUGUGUAAAUUUGUAGUGUCAAGAGUGCAACGAAGGGAGGAGGACUUGAGACCGAAGCCGUAAGCUACUCUGCUGCAUCUCCAAACGCGUCCCCAACUCUCUCUACUACGGUGUUUUCGAUUGGUGUUUUGGUUGUCGCGUUUAGGGCGGUUCAACGCCUUUGGUGAAAGCCGUGCGGUCUGAUUUUAAUAACAGCAUCAUUCGAUUCAUCUAAGAGAAAUUAAGAACAGAUCAUCAACCAAAGAUGAUCAGAGGAAAGAGUUAAUUAGUCCGAGAUGAUUAUUUUUAGAACGGUUAAGCUUGUGUGCGGUCCUAAAGCGCUAAGGAUCAAUUUGUUUUAGAUUGAUUAGUUUUAUAGUAUAGUUAUGACUUAUUAGUUGCUUCGUAAUUUGUUUAGACAUGUUGGUGGGCUUUACGGUGUUAUGUAGGAGACUUAUAUAUAAUAGUUUUGAUUGCAGAAUUAGUUGAUUGGUAAUUCGCUUAAUUCCUUUCUAUUUGACUUUUACGUUUUCUAGAUACUGUAUAUGUUUGAAAGUUAGAUUCGUUCAUAUAAUCUAUCUUGUAUUUGUUGGAUUAAGAGAGAAAUUAUGAGAAAUUGUGAGAAAACCCUUUAUCAAACAAAAAAGGAGAGAAAUUGUGUGCUGGAAUCUCUGUAUUGGACAAAUAAAGAGUGACGUUAAUUUUUGGAUUUUCAGUUUAACGAAUUAUUAUUUUUGAACAUAGAAACGUUAUAUUUAAAAAAAAAAAACAGAACAGAAGAAUGUAAAAAGAGGUGUUACAGAAAAUAAAAAAGAAUGUAAAAAGAGAAAUGAAGUAAAAACAAUCGGGGAGGUUGAUGGUAGAGAUGAUUCUAUUAAGUGUUUCUCUCGAUCCAGUUCAUCGUCCUCACGUGCGUUAACUACAACAUUCAUCUUCUUUCUUCAUGGUCACGUCUGAUUUCCUUAUAGGGUUUCCACAUUUUUUCAUUUCUAAGGUUUUGGUUGUGGCGGAGAUGGUCAACUGAAUCAAUGUAAUGGUGGAUGAUUCUAAGUCAUAUUGUGGGGGGCGUAGAUGUGAGGUUGUUGGUAUUGGUGGAGAAGAGUAGAGAAAGUUUGUGGAGGCAAUGAGCGCUUAAAGGUUCAUAAAGUGUGUUACCGUUGGUGAUGGAGCUGUCGGUAAAACGUGCUUGCUCAUUUCUUACACCAGCAACACCUUUCCCACGGUAAGAUACUCUGUCUGACUAUUAUCUUGUCUGAGUUGUGAUGUGGCUGAUUAAAAGAAAUCUUGGAUCUGCAAUAGCUUUCGUGGAAGCCAAGAAACUUAUUACUUGCUUGGUCUCAUAUCCUUUCAAAUGUAUUGGAUCCCUAUUUGAGUCUAGGAUUCUAAUUGACUGGAAUGAAACUAAAAACCAUGAUUUAAAAGUAUUGGAUGCCUAUUCGAGAGUCUCUAAGUAUACUGUGAGGGAUAGAUUCUAGUCACAGUCCUAGUUUUGAUAAUGUUUAUUCUCUAUCUUAAUGCCACACUAUAUUAUCUCUUUAUGUCCACCUUUGGUUGCUUGAAAGAACACACAGCAAAACAUCAACAACCAAAAGUGGAUCAAGAAUAAUCUUAUUGGACAAACACAAUGUUUUGAUGAUGACUAGUGUAGCAAAAGAGGGAUAAAACUAAUCUCUUGAUAAGCCAAAUCCAUACGAACACACCUAGUGUUUGAUGAUGACUAGUAUAGAAAAAAGAAUAAGUAACACGUGGGGGUGAGCAGAACAUAACUAACCCUAUCAUGUUCUCUCUUGACCAACCAAAAAUUGGGCUGACUUUAAUUCCCAUUGGCUUGGAGGUUCCAAUUUCAUAAUGCAAGUUGUUGGCUUAUAUGGUAGCCAGCCAAAGGAAUGGACCUUUCUGUGAUAAUGGGGGCAGGGAGAAACAUAAAUGUUCAGUGGUAGGUCGGUCCCCUUCUCACUUUUCUUUGGAAUAGUCAUCAUCUAAGUGGAACACUGUUUUGUCUAUUGGUCACUUGAACCUUUUGCUUCUUUUGAGAACCAAAUUGGUUAAACAGUAAAACAUAAUAUGUAAAAAAUUCAAACUAACAUUAGAAGAGGAAGUAGCAUUACUACAAAAAUACAAGUUAGUGCAUAAGAAAAUGACAGAACAAGAGGAAAGAGGCCCAAGACAGGUGUUCCUGUGCCUUAGGAAAUAGAAAGACAAAGAUCCUUUCCUCUUUCUGUUUUUUUUUACCAAGUUCUUUCCCCUGCAAUAUCUUAGGUUUACAAAAAUACCUUAGUUACUUAUAGCUAAUAAACUUUUUCCAUUUUUUCACUUCUUCAUGAAAGACUCUCAAAUCCCCAAAAGAGAAAUAAAGGACAUGUAGAUUUCUCAAAAUGGAGCUGUGGACGACCUUUGAAGUGCGUUCUUUUUGGGUUGCUGAUUUGCUGCCACCAUUUUUAACUACACACACACACACACAAAGAACUUAAGUAUCAGAAUAUUACCAGUCGAAAUGUUAUUGUACCAAAACGAGUGUAAGACAAAAGUACUUCAAGUAAUGCAGAGGAUGUCUAUUUACUUUUAACUAUAAGGAAUUGAACUAUUAUUAUGAGUGCUUCAUACAGGAAAAUUCUCUCUGCUUGUUUACCUGAUCUUGUUGUCUCUUGAGUCUUGCAUUUUCUGCUUUCAGGUGAGCAAGUUUAAGCUCUAACUCGUUUGUAUAAGCCUGCAAAUGAGAAUCAAAACCCAAAAAAAAACUUUUUUAGAUCAUUUCAUUGUGAGGACAAAGUCAUAUCUCUUUUUCAAGUAGAAGGUUAGCUGAGGAGGAGAGGAGAGGCACAUUCCUGUUUCCUAGCUCUGGAACGAGCCGCAGAUUCUCUGUUCUUGAUCAUACGCUUAUGUCUUCUAUUCCCUGAACCUUCAUUAGACUCUUGGCCUCUUUUCUUACCAAAAGAAGUGGAUGUAACCAGAGCCUCAAAAGGGGUGUCCAAUGAACAAACGUUUGUGAGGUGAUUGUGGCUAUGCAGAUUGGAGUUAGGGGUAACAAGAGGAUCUUCGUUAUCAAGAAACUCGAAGCAGGCACUGGAAUUCAAGCUCAGAACAGUUGCAGGAGGUGCCAAAGGAGAGCUGCUGAAGAGAGCAGUGACGGUGGUGGUAUCGCCACUGAGGCUUGUGGGUAUGGUUGGUUCCUGGUUUAAAGGUCUGUUGAGAAAAUCUUGGAAGAUGGAGUUAGGGUUUUGGUUAUGGCUCCUGAACCUUGGCUCAUGGUUGUGUUGUGGAUGUUGGCUGUGGUGGUUAAGGUGGUGAAUGGAAGCAAGGUUGAUGUCUUUCCAAACUUCUUCCAUGGUGAUUAGAGAUCUCUUCUGGACUUGAGAGUGUGAAGGAGAUGAUGAGGAUGAAAUGGAAGGAACUUUGUUGAGAAUCUUGUUCUUGUUUGGAGCAGAGACUCUAUGGUUUCUUUGAUGCUUUGCUGAUGAAAACAUAGGAAAAGAGAACUAAUAAACACAACUUUAGGCUUUGGUGUUAAUUGUCUUGGAGAGAGAGAAAUAGACUAGAGAGCUUCUUGACUUUCACCAGUCAUUUCUGGAAUGAUGGUUGGGGUCUAGAAGAAGAGACAGCGAGAUGGGAACUAUUCAAACAAAAAAAAAUGUUAAACGAGGAAGAAAAAUUACAUAACCAUAUAACUAAAGUUUUGAUGUAAUUUUGAAGAUUUUUUAUAAAGAUAAAAAUGUUGAUAAUUUCAUAGUGAAGUUAGUAAACUAUUGUCAUGAUCCUUAAUGUAAAGAGUGGGUGGGGAAGAGAUGCUUGAAAAAAACAGGCAAAUAAUUAAAACUUUUGUUUAAUCUCACUUUUUUAAAGAUCACGUCCUUUUGAAUCACGUUCAACUUUCAAGUGUUUACUUAUUUCUUUCUUGCUUUAUUCUUCUUCUUCUAAUCACAAUUGCAUAUUAUAAAAACUUACAUAUUUUAAAAGUUAAAACCAUGAGAACAUUGGCUUUCUAUUAUGCUAUAUCUAGGUAUUCGAAAUUAUGUGUCCGCUUGUAUCUAUGUUUAGUCUCCAAGUGCAUAUCUAGCAAAAAAAUUCUUUCUUUCUUUACUGCAAGUUGAUAGUAAUACAAUUAUAUAUAUUUUUCCUCUUGAGAUUCUAUUUAACAAGAUAAACUAAUUCAUUUCCAUACAAUUGCGAUUUUAAUUACUGUUUUGUGGCCGAAAACUGAGAAACCCGGCGAUCUUUUGUAUUGUUCUGAACUUUUUUCUUACUCGAGAACAUUUCAUAAUCUAAUUUGGGCAUAGCACACAAAGGAUGAAUAAGCUUGUCCAUAGAGAUAUUAGGCCAAAACAAAGGUUCAGACAACUGUUGAAAUCGAUAAUAAUUAAACUUAUUUAAAUACGUUUGGUUUGUAUAUGGUACAGACUUUUAAUUAAAAUUUCAAUAUUUGAUGAUACUUUUUGGUUUGUAUGCACUGACCGUGGUUGUUCUUUUAGUUUACCAACACUUGCUUUGACCGUUUAUAAAAAAAGAAAAAUUGUUGCACACAUUUGAAAUCUAUGUCAAUCGGGAAAUGUAUUUUUUGAACAAACGGAAUUAUAUAUUAGAGCCAACAGAUUAUAAAACAUUUUAAUAAAAUGGAAGCUCCAAGUUGGGUAUAUAUAUCGGACCCAUCACCCAUAUAUAUCUGAGCUAUGCAGAGCUUGUGAGUUGUAUGAGAGGGAGAAAGCGUGACAAGUCAUGUCUCAUGGGAUUGGACAGGUGUCAGCAUUAUAUUGCUCAGUCACAAACUCUAUCAGAUUUCUUUCUCUGUCUUAAAAUAUCGUUUUUUUGGGUCAAAGUCUUAAAAUAUCGUUUAAAACGAUGAAUAUAAACGGAUAACAUGCUUGCCAGUUGCUCAAAAAAGGAAGUGCAACUAAUGUAAGCCGAAAAAAGAUUUUUAAAAAACUAAUAUAAAAACGAUAGAUUUCAUUUCACUAAUAAAAAUCAGUACUUUUAGUUCACGAAUGAAAUAUUGAUUACAAUAUAUGUUUUUUUUUUUUUUGGUAAAAUGUUAAAUUUAUACCAUUUUCGAGAUUUUAAACUGUUGCGGACAACUUAUUGUGCGGAAAGAAAAGAAACAAAACAACCUAACUCAAGAACAGAACAACCUCAAGGAGGCCUAGGGCCAGAAAAAUAGAACUGCAGCAGCGACGGAGUGGGGUUCGGGGAUGGAAAGGAGAGCAAGCGAUCUCGUAUCAGGCGGUCUAAGGCGGAACGAAGAGCAGCAGCAGAAGUGGAGGCAGAGGUAAAGACCCGGGCGUUGCGUUCCUUCCAGAUGAGGUAGAUGGCGGACUGAAAGAUAAGCUUGAUGACAGGUGGAGCCUGGGAAGGGUGGCGGAGGUGAGAGAUCAUGGCAGCUGCUGAAUGCACAUCAAGGGGUGUAGCAGGUAGGAUAGCCUGCGCAAAAUGCUUCCAGAUGCUGGAAGAGUACUCACAUUCAAAGAAGAGGUGGUGAUGAGUUUCAAUACCCGUGGAACAUAGAACACAUUCCUGAGGAACAUUCAUUCCCCAACGACGCAGCCGAUCACGGGUAGGAAGUCUCCUUAGAAGAGCCAACCAAGAUAUAAAAGCAUUGCGUGGAAUGUUCUCUUUAAACCACACAACCUUAGCCCAAUAUACUGUUGGAGAAGUCUGUCUUAUAUGCUCCCAAGUAGUCUUAGAAGAGAAGGUAGGACCAAAGCUUCCAUCAUGCUUCCGCCAAAGGUAUUGGUCGGCACCAUUGUUAGAAGUUGGAGGGGCCAUUGUCGUGAGAACAAUCUGAACCGUCUCUGCAUCAGGAGAUCUAGCUGGUGGUAGCAGCCAAGAGCCCUCUCGUGCAGCCUUAGAGACCGUUGCAUUCUUCCCAAUUCUCAUCAUACGAGGACCAUUAUCGCCAAGAACGGAGAUCAGAGGGCCUAGAAGAGUCCAAGUGUCAUACCAAAAGGAACAAGAAGCCCCAUCUCUAACCUGACAGCGCAAAAAAUCAUUCAGCAUGGGCUUGAGUUGUACCAUACUUCUAACAGUAGGAGAUAACCGGCUUGAAUCUUGCAUUAGCCAAAAUCCCUUCCUCCCAAAGACAUUCUUUUUUAACCAAGCCACCCAAAGAGACCCUGAGUUAGAGAAUAGGUUCCAGACUAGCUUGAGCCUGAAUACAAGCUGGAAAUCCUCCAAUAACCGAAUACCUACUCCACCUUCGGCCUUAGGCCGACAAACAUCUCUCCAUGCUACCCGAGAACCCGCAGCAGUAGUGGCCUUGUUUUUCCAUAGGAAUGCAGCGCAGAGAGAGUCAAUCUUGGCGUAGAAAGCUUUGGGGAGCACAAAUACUUGACUCCAAAAGUUGACCAUGCCGUAAAUCUCAGACGCCACCAGUCUAAUUUUACCUGCAAAGGAUAGAAACUUGACCGUCCAUGAGUGGAGUUUUCCAAUAAUCUUGUCAAUAAAGGGUUGCAAAGUGGCCAUCGUUAUCCUUGACGGGUUCAGAGGAAAGCCAAGGUAGCGAGUAGGAAAUGUGCCUAUCGAGAAACCGCUUAUAUCAGCAAUCACUUGAGCCGAGAUUCCAGCAUACCCUCCAAAGAAGAUGUGAGAUUUAUCCGGAUUAAUGCUGAGACCACUCAUCCUUUUAAAUUUAUCCAUAACUGAACAGAUCCCAUUAAUAGACCAACGAGAUCCAUUAGAGAAGAUCAGGAGAUCAUCUGCAAAUAGAAGAUGAGUGAUUUUAGGAUCUGAGCAUCUCGGGUGAAGUCUGAUGCGCCCUGCAUUAGCAGCUAUGACGAGAAGAUUAGAGAGCACUUCCAUCACAAAGAGGAAUAGGUAUGAAGAUAGAGGGUCACCCUGGCGCAGGCCUUUUUUACCCGGGAAAAACCCAGCAAGUUCACCAUUUAUAGCCACCGAAAAUCGAGGGGAAGAGAUACAUUCACUGACCCAACGCCUGAAGAUAGGAGGAAAAUUUUGUGCUUCAAGCAGCUUGAGAACGAAAUCCCAAGAGACAGUGUCAAAAGCUUUCUUGAUAUCCACUUUCAGCAUUGAGCUCUUUUCACAACUAGCCUUGCCAUAGUCUCUAAUCAGUUCAGAGGAAAGCAAAACAUUUUCACCUAGACUUCUACCUUUAAGGAAGGCAGAUUGGCUCGGGCUUAUGCUGUCUUGAAGCACCCCUUUUAGUCUGUUUGAGAUGAUCUUGGAUAUAAUCUUGUAGAUCAGAUUACAACAGCUUAUGGGCCGGAAAUCACCUAACUUGCAGGCCUGAGGGAGCUUAGGGAUGAGAGCAAUGGUCGUGUUGUUCAGGUCUUUUAAGAGCCUACCGUUUAGAAAGAACUCAUUCACAGCAGCAAUAACAUCAGGCCCCACAAUGCUCCAAGCCGAUCUGAAGAACUCAAUAGAAUACCCAUCAGGACCGGGACUUUUGCUUAGUGGCAUCGCAAAGACCGUUUUAGUGAUUUCCUCAGUAGUGACAUGACGACUGAGCACCUCACAUUGCGCAUCAGAACAUCGGAAGGACAGGAGCUCCUGAAGUUCUCUGAUGGUAGUAGGAGAUUCCGGCAUGUCCGUGUGGCCCAAAAUGUUCUCAAAGUAGGUAGCAGAAUGAGCCUUUAUCUGGUCUAUCGACCCAAUGUAACCAUCAUCAGCAUCACGAAGGAAGUGUAUGUGGUUACUGGCCGCCCUUUGGAUAACGGUUUUGUGAUAAAAAGCAGUGUCACGAUCACCCAAGUGGUUCCAUUUAACACGAGAUUUCUGUCUAUAAAAUUUCUCCUCCGCCUUGAGAAGCAUCUGCCACUUAGCUCUUUCAUCAUGCUCCGAUCUGGCAGUGAUAGGAUCAGGGUUGGUAAGCAGACGCCGUUGAAGAUCAGUGACAAUGACAGUCUGCUCUUUUACUCGCUGUGUGAUUCCACUGAAGUGAGACCUGUUUAGUCUACGAAGAACACCUUUCAGCAAUUUCAAGGAUCUCUGGAGCUUAAACUGGUAGGUUCCUCGGAUAGUGACACAGUUCCAAGCUUCCUUCACAGAAUCCAAGUAGUUGGGAUGAUCAACUAUAUGAUCAAAGAACUUGAAUGGUUUAACUAUCCGCCGUCUGAGAGAAGGCAUAGAGACCAAGCAUGGAGCAUGAUCCGAUUGCUCAGGUUCUAGGAACUCCCCAAAGGCAUUCGGGAAGGAUUGAGCCCAGUUCUGGUUCACAAAGAAGUGAUCAAUCCUUUUAGAGAUUGGGUUAUCAUCCUGAUUGUUCCACCAAGAGAAGGGGAGACCCUUAGUGUGAGAUUCAAAAAGCUCAGCUUCCUGCAUAGCGAGUGUGAAGUCAUCUAUGUCUGCUGCAUCAACAUCUAUAUCCGGGUGGUUUGAAUGCUGAUCCGAUCUGAGAAUUUGGUUAAAGUCUCCUAUGACAGCCCAGGGAAAGCGAGAGACUGGAGUAGAAGCAUUUAGGAGAGAUAAUUCCUCCCAUAGUGAACAUCGUUCCUCAGCCACAUUGUAUGCAUAGACAAAGGUGACUGUGAGGUUGAUGUCUUCCGCAAGUACAGAGAAACCACAAGUAACUGCCUGCGCUGAUGCUUGAUAAAGCGUCAUAAUCACCGAAGGAUGCCAGACAACAACAAUUCUAGCCGUACCAUGGUGAGCUGAGUUCUCAAAAAACUUCCAACCAACUGGAAGAGCAUUAGAUAUCCGUCUUGAGUUAUUAGGUUGUAUGUGUGUUUCUAAACACGCACCAAAAAGAGGCCCGUGGGUUGUAAUCCACUGUUUGACCGAGAUGUGGCGUUGGUUGCUAUUCAGCCCUCUUACAUUCCACGCAAAAACAUUAUAAAAUGUUGGAUUAGUUUGUUGUAGCCUUGCGGCUACACUUCCUGUUCAGUACCAGGGAGAAAGGAUUAUUGGAGGUGUCCUCAUCUGACUGAAUUUGAGCCGCAGAAGAACCCUUCUCAUCGUGGAACACAAUGACAGAGGCAUUAUAUCCCAUAGGCCUGUCGAGGCAGAAGACUGGGGAGGGAACAACGUCCUCUACUGCAGGAUCCGAGAUGAUCAAGGUUUCAGAUAAAAGAACAUCAUCUGGCGCACUCUGAUCAGCAGUUACAGGAUUGGUGAUUUCUUCGUGCGGUGGUUGCGAAGAAGACAGCACAUUAAGUUUACCAGUCUCAACAGCCCGGCUUGAAGCAGGAGCAUCCUCAUUGCUAGGACCACUAGAUUGCAAAGUAGUGUCAUUGCAUGGAGGAGGAGUUUUAUCACGAGUGAAGCGCCUCUUGGAUUUUGACUCUCUGCUUCUAGGGCGGGGAGUCGAGCGCUGUGAUGAGGAACCUUUCUUGCUGUCAGCAUUCCUCAAUAAGGCAACAGAGCGAGGGCAAUGAUCCACAUCAUGUCCAAACUUGUCACAUUGGGAGCAUUUGGUGGGAAGCCAGGGAUAGGAGAUAGCAAUCUCGAUUUCUUUCCCAUUGGAGAACCCUGUAACAAUCCUACUUGGAAGCUCACCAAGAAGAUUCACUUUGAUCCAGAUCUUAGCCACUUCAAAGUUUUCCUUCCUUUCCGUUUCCGGAGCUAAGGAAACGGGCUUGCCAAUGGCCGUUGAUAAGCGACUCAAGCUUUUCUGAUUGAAGAGGAGGUAUGGAACUCCACGCAUCUCCACUGGAACCACCGCUGUAGUCAACUGCGGUUCAUCAUGAGAGAAGUCAGAAGACCAAGGGGCUACGAACAUAGGACUCCCCGCUAUCAUCCAAGCAGGUCUGCUCAGCAGGAUCUCCCUUGUCCGUAAGUUUGUGACCCUGAGGAGGAAACAACCUUCACCGACCUUGUGAACGAUUAUCCUCGGUCCUGAGCGUGCCCAGAUUGCAUUCACCACUCCAAUAAUACGCCCUUUAGAAGGGAUAUCCCCCCGGAACCGAGCGAAGAUGAAUUCUUUAAACUCUUCUUUAGCCUCUUCAAUAUUGUCAUCCGGUAUGAGGACAAAAGGAGCCCCUGAAACAUGGGUAGUAGGAGUGCCAAGUUCCUCCAAUUGAGCAGAUUUCUGAAUGAUAUUAGAAAGCUUCUGAGAAGGGACCGGAGAGGGUUCCUGAGGAGUAGGGCCAACAGGAGGAGCGUCAGUUGCAAGAGACGAUUCCUCAGGAGAGACAGUGUCGGAGGAUGAACCUUCAACGACACAGAAAUCCUGAGCAGUAGCUAAGACCUUGGUUUUUGAAAAAUCAGGCUUAGAUGAAACCAAUUCCGAUUUCGAGGUCGGAGAUGGAGGAGUUACAGUCACCGGAGGAGUAGGGCCAACUGGAGGAGCGUCAGUUGCAAGAGACGAUUCCUCAGGAGAGGCAGUGUCGGAGGAUGAACCUUCAACGACACAGAAAUCCUGAGCAGUAGCUAAGACCUUGGUUUUUGAAAAAUCAGGCUUAGAUGAAACCAAUUCCGAUUUCGAGGUCGGAGAUGGAGGAGUUACAGUCACCGGAGGAGCUACAGUCACCGGAGGGGUAACAGUCACCGGAGGGAAUACAGUCACCGGAGCCUUCACACUAGCAGAGGAUCCGCUGGAGGGAGGAGCAGAUUUCCGGAAAAACCCACCGGAGAUAAGAGACGGGAGCCUCGAAGAAGCCUUACCGAAAGGGAGGGACUGUUUUUUCUUUUUCUUGACUUUUGCCAUGACAGAAGAAAGCACACGAGAGAGUAAAGAACAGGGAAGGGAGAAUUCUCAGCGGUGGCGUGAGGCCAAAACCGCCGGUGCGAGAAGGGGAUAAGAAAUCCCUAAUCGCCUUUGCAAUCUCCUAAGAAAUCCCUAAUCGCCUUUUGCAAUAUAUGUUAUGGAUUAUAAUAAUAUCAUUGUGGUUAUUACCAAUAACGUUUGGAAAGAUCAUAUUAAAUAAGAUCAACAUAAUAUCAACUGAUAUCUAUUAUUUUUAAUCAUCAUUUUGACAUGUUGAGAUGAGAUCUACAGAUGUUUGAUAUAAUAUAUAGUUCUAUAGAUAAUUAAAAUUCCUUGUUUCUUUCGAGUUGGUUCAAAAUUAUAAUUAUAAAAGUAAUUUCGUUGUAUACAAAAAUAAAUAAGAUAAAAAGAGAAGUAAAAGGGUUUUACAAAAGUAAAUUCGCUUGCAGAGAAAAAGGUUGAUAGACUCGAAAUCAGCCAGGACAAGUGAUUUGAAUUGAUGAUAUUCGUAUUUAUUGAUUUUCGUUUAUGUUCAAAUGAUAAUUCAACGAACAAUAAGAAUGACCGUUGGAUUCUAUAGUGUCGCUGGUCCGUACAAUAAUCACAUGCCCUUAGGUUGUCCAUAGACCAAACGUGCACACAGUAGUCGUAAUAAUUUACUAUUAAAAGUAGCAAUAAGCAAAAAUUAGAGUUGAAAGACCUAAAAGAACGCUAACCGUUGGAUAAGAGGAGAUGGUUGGAAUGUGUACUUUGACAUCUCCAAAUGGUAAGAAAUUUUGGACAACUUUCUAUAUGUCUUGUAUGUUUUGUGAACUAGAGUUUAUAGUCUAUGAAUAUGGAGAUUGUGACAUUGAACCUAUUAUUGGGUUGUUUCAGUUUAUUUUUUCCACAUUUAGGUGAACAUAAAGCAUAUUUUGAUAUAUGCAAGUGUUGGUGUUUGCUUAGUUUCCAAUUGUGAUGACUAUGUUAGGUAGAGCCUGCAUGGCUUUGAAUGAUAAGUAGAUCAUUUGAGAGUAAAGUCAUUUCUCACUUAUUACGAAGGAUAGAUGUCUCUAGUUAUUAGUAGGGACGUAAAACUUAAUUCGCUGCAACAAUGUAAUAAAGUUUAUUUAAAAAAACACGCCCUACACAAAAAAGUACAACGUCAGCAGAGCGUGAAGCACGUGUUUGUUCAAUCAUAUUCACAUCAAAGCACCGAUUGAUACAUGCUUUUGUUCUAUAGUUUGUUGUUUUCCUUACACAUUUAGAGAUAAGACUAAUUAAAGACACACUUGCUCUCCUUUUUCUAACACAUUUUAUUUACACAGGAAUAAGAGAUUCACGAGUCUUCUGAAAAUCCAGUUCCACUUUGCUUAGACUUUUCUCAUAACUAAUCUCCCCAUCAACAAUCAAUGUCUAGAAAGAAAAAGAAAAACAUAAGAGUACUGCAAACAACAAUCGAUAAUCCCAUAACAUAACAAUGGUUACAAGCAAGCGUCAAUGCCCAUUGUAAGUAACAAAGUAGCAUAAACUUAAAGAAAGUUAUUAGCAACAUCCAAAAAAAGUUAAAAACCAAAACCAAAAAACAUAAAACAUGCAAAAGUUUCCGCUAGCUAGAAGAAUCACAAAUGUUUGAUCCUUUCUCUGUUUUUUUUUAUAUGAGUCUCUUUUCUCUUUUUGGAUUUAUGCCUUACCUUUACCUUUUUUUGGAUUCCUCUUCAAUUAUUGUUUUUUUCCUGAUUUUUGGGCAGGACAAAAUAAUAUACUUCAUCUCCAACACUAACCAACAGCUCCAAACAUGGUGAUGGUUCAACGGUUUGCACCACCCGAGCCAUUCCUGUUGCUCACUGGAUCAGCACCAGAAGACUGUGGCUGACCAUCUGCAACAGCUUUGUUUUCUGCUUCCGGAGGUUGCAGCUGACUACCUGAACCACCAAUUGGCUCUGCUGAGCUCUGACCAAUCGAUAAAUUUCCAACUCGGCUUGCUACUGCAUCAACAGAUUGAGGGCUUGGAAUCAACCAAAGUUGCCAAUUGUGGCGCUUCCUUAUUCCGUCACCCUAACAAAGAAAAUAAAACAUGUGCAAUUAAAUAAAGGCAUAAGUUUUCAAAGCACACAAGAAGGAAAGCAAAUGUCAAUGCCAUAUAUGCCUUUGGAGGAACAUAUAACAAUGAAUUUAUACAUUCAGCUUCAAAACAGAUAACACUACAGGUCACAUAGACAAGAAAAUACCUGCACUUCAACAAAAGGUGAACCUUGUAGAGCCUCCACUAUUUCCUGGAUGCUAUCUGUAAGUUCUGCAACCUGAAGGAAGAAAGAAGCAGCACAUAUAGCUAAAAGUCGCAGAGAGUAAUACAAAUAAUCUGGAUAUGGUACUAAGCAACAAAAUGUAUAGUAGCUAGGAUCAAGUUUUAACAUUAUAUAACACAUCACACGGGAGCAAAAGAAAUAUUCAUAAUCGAAUUUCUUAACAUAUGAAUAAAUUCAUCUACUGGUAAUAUAUAUCACCUGUCUUAACAACAGAUCCCAUUUGCUGAAAGUAUGUACAUGCAUGGCCAAGCUUUAUAUAAACAGUCACUAGAUGUAUCUAAAAAUUUACGAGAUUGAAUACAAGUUCACCCUAGUCCUCAGUUUGAGACAAGCAAAAUGAGUUCUAGUGACCCGGAAGUAAUAAACUUUGAAAUGAAAUAAGAUACACUGUUUAGAUAUCAUAAUCAGGGAAAAGUGAAUGAGACCAAUAGGUAAGACAGCACAUCCAUAAAGUGAUUUACCUUUCUGAAACCAGCAAUCACAUGUAGCGGGGCAAAACCUUGAUCAUCCAUUUGGUCACGGAGAUAGGUGUCUUUAAUCAAAUUCUCUUCACUGUAACAAAAAGAAAAAUUUAAAUCUGAAUUACUCCUUCCCAGAAGAGAAAUGAGCAGUGAGAAAUUCGAGAAAUUCAAUAUGAAGUUACUACCUAAAAUAAUAAUGUAUUUGAUUCUGUAGUUUUAUGUUUAAAGGAGGAUCUUGGACAUGGUAGAAGACUGGACCAGGUGAGAGAGGAGCGACGAAAGGCAUGCCUGGAUAAAACGGUGGUGCCAAUUCUGAAAUGAAGAAGACGCGUUAGAACAAAUAUUAAAUGAAAUUCAAAAGAAGUGAUCUUUCAAUGUGUCUCUCACCAGGAGGGUAUGGUACAGGACUGCCAAAAGACUGAGCUGCCAUAAACUGAGGAGGAAUUGCCUGCACAGGUGGUGGUGGUGGCGGUGGUGCAUAUCUUACAAACGCUGGAGCACCUCUUGGUGACUGUGCAUUUCCAUCUCUCCCAUUAAAGCUUCUGUGGAAAUUCCAAUUCUGAUUCCCGUGCUCCUGAUUGCGCCUGCCACCAUGAUUCUGGUGAUGAUGAUUACCGUUUUGGUUCCUGUGCGAAUCUCGUUGGUUGUCAGCACCACCAUGAGGUUGUGAUGCAAAGCCAUUCUUCUGGUUUUGGCCUCUAGGAGAAGGGUUGUGCGAGGUGCCUUCAACAAGUGAACCCUGCGCUGAUGGCUGAGAAGCAGUACCAUUAGCAGUGGACCCAGAGGCGCCAUUCCGUUUAAAUGAUCUCUGGCGCGAGUGGUUUGGUGUUGGAUUAGGGUUGUUCGCACGGCCGGCUUGCUUUGGUGCAGGAACAGAAGCACUUGCAGCUCCCUGGAUCAAAGACAUAGAGAAUCAUUUUCAUUCUUAGCUCAAGAUAAAGCAUGUCAUCAUGCAUAAGCCAAGGCGAACAUAAAAGCUAAGCAUUUCGUUUUCCACAUUACAAGCUCAAACGAAAAAAAGGAGCUAACUUUGAACAGAAACAAACAUCUUAUGCAUUCACAAUCAAACAUGAACUCAUUAAGACAAAUAACAUGCAGAUACUGAAAGCUACAAAGGUUGCUAAAAGACCACACACCACCAAGCCAUCAUUUUUAUACACCAAAAUGAAGUUUUUUUCAAUAACCAAACAAACACAUGUAACCAAUAAGGCCAUAAGAAUCAACCAAACCUGAGAAACGGACGAGGGCACAUCGCCGAUACUCGAAUCAGAGGAAGGCUUGUUCGAAGGAGCUUUGGUAGCCUCGGAAAGAGCAGGCCACGACGAAGCUCCCAUGACAGGUCCGAUCUCAGAAGCCCCAUUAGACGGCCGACUCCAAGCUGGUUUCUUCCCGGCAUUUCCCUCCGAUUUAUCUUCCCCAGCCGCCGCCUCCACCGUCAAAAGAGCAGCAGGCGGAGCAGCGGAAGCAAUCGGCUCGAUCGGGGGCUUAGAAGUAGCGGCAGCGGCGAUCGUCGGCGGCGGCUCUGAUUCGCCGCGGACGAUUUGAGUCCAGGGAGAAGAAACCUGACGGCGUGAUUGUGCAGCAGUAGGGCUGCUCACGUGACGAGUAGACUCGCUCACGUGACGAGGAUAAUCGCUCACGUGACGAGGAGACAGAGAAGGAGAAGAGGUGGAGUUAUUGGUAGCGGCGGAGGCCAUGAUCAGGGGGGGGUCAAAAAAUUAGGGUUUGUUAAACAGUCGAUGAGCUGAGUCUAAUCAAAACGAGUUAGAGGUGAGAAGAUUAGGGUUAGGGUUUGAGUAAUGCGAAAUGAAAGCUAUUCCCUUAAGGAGAAGACGACGAUGGAAGCUGGAGGAAGCAGCAGUCUUCGUCUCCUCUCUCUCUCUCUCUCUCUCUCUUUCUCCGUUCCUUUUGUUUUUUUUUUUUCUUCUUACUAACCGAGUAACGUGGGAGUGAGAAGUUACGAGACUACCCUUUAGAGUAGCACAAGAAAAAACACACAUUUUUUACUUUCUCUGAUUCUUAUUGGAUGUGAUGCUUAUUGGAGGAUUGUUGACGUUUGCAUUUAGUGAGUAAACAUUAUACGUGUCGCUAAUGUAUUGGUUUGAUUUGUUUUUACACUCUUAAAAUAGGUCAAACUGUUAAAAAUAAUUUAUGUCCACUGAAUUUUUAACUUUUUUACAUGUGAAAAUCAUGUGUUAUUAAUUUUGUAUGUUUUCUAUAAAAAAAAGUAAUAUAAAAUAUUUUAGAGAUUUAUUUCUAAAUCAUAAUGUUUUAAUGUUUCAUAGGAAAAAAUCCUUAAUCAUCACUUUUUUUCAAAGUCCUUAACUUUACUACCUUCGUGAUAGAUUUGUUGUGUAUAUCAACCAUUUAUAUAUUUAGAAUUGGCUGGAAAUCAUGUGGUUAUAAUUUUCAUUAAAUAAAUUUUCUAUAUCAUUUUUUUUAGAAGAUUUGAUUCUUAAUCAUAAUGUUCAAAGUUUGUAGCUUUAUUAUUACCUUCAGGAUAGAUUUGUUGUGUCUACCGUUUAUAUAUUUUUAGAAUUAUAAUCUACAUAUUACUGGCAAUGAUUAUAUCCAUAGACCAUGGUUAUUGUUGAAUUAAUAUAGACAACUUUAAUUCUUACAAAGAUCUUUUAAUUAUUCAUUAGUUUAAGAUAUUUGGUAAGGACAGACUUUGUAUUGUUUCAAAUAUAAUUAAGUUGACUAUUAAUCAUUUAUAAUUUUAUAUUGGUCUGGUAAUGUUGUCAUUUUUGUUUGUUGACAAAAAGAAUGUCAAUGUUACAGCAAAUUAGAUAUUUAUUAAAUCAUUAUACACACCUAACAUAUUUAUAAUGUGAACUUUCGCCUUUAAUCUGUAUUGUUUUUUACAUCUAACUAGGAUAAGACCCGCGCCUUGCGCGGGAUUAAGUUAUUAUUUUUAUUAUAUUUUGGAGAAUGAAACAAUAGUUUGGCUUCAUUUGGAUUACGGGUGUUCAAUCCGAAUAUCGGGUUGGUUUCGGUUCGGUUUGGUUUUUUUCGGUAUUUGGUUAGUAAAAUAUAAUUACUAUUCUAAAUCCAUAUUUACUUUGACUUUAGUCUUUCACAUACUUUUGAAAGAUUUCAACUAGAUGAUUAAAUUGAUCAGCCAAUCUUAUUGCUUUAAAUCAUUAGUGUUUAUAUAUAUAUUAUUUAGUUUAAAUAUUUAUUAAAUAAAAAUUCAUAUGCGUUAUAUUUUAUGAUCAUUUGUAAUUUAUUAUAACAAAAAAAUAAUCUUUUGAUCACAAAAUUUUCAGAGUGGGAAUAUUCAAAUUUCUAAUAAUAUAUAGACGUUUUGAAAAUUCAAAUAUAACAUAUAAGAAAAAUAUAAAUGUUUUUAUUAUAUAUUUAAUGUGAUUUUUUAAUAUCUUUCAAUAAUAUAAAAUUAAAAAAAAGAACUAAGAUACCAAAAUUGUUAUCAAAUAUUUAUUAUUCAUAAUAAUUAAUUUUCAUAUAUACGUUAAUCAUAUUAGGUAAUUUCGUAGCUUCUAAUUAAGGAAAGUGCAAAAAAUAUUUUGGUAGAUUAUUUAUCAAUUCGAUAGUUAGUUUAAUAAAAAAUAUAAUGUAAGUCAAGAUAGACCAACCUAUUUGUCUAAGAAUAGUAUAUUUUAUAUAGUCAUUUAUUAAAUGAGAAUUUAUAAUCAUACAGUUCUAUGAUCAUUCAUAUCAUUUAUGUUUUAUUAUUAAAUGAUAUUUUUUACUCAUAUGGUUUUAAAAUAAAGUGUAUCUUCUUAUAAUAUUAAAUAAAAGUUCAUAUUAAUACAAUUUUAUGAUCAUUUGUAACUUAUUAUGACAAAAAAAUAAUCUAUUGAUCACAAAAUUUUCAGAGUGGGGAUCUUCAAAUUUCUAAUAAUUUAUAGACGUUUUGAAAAAUUCAAAAUAUAACAUAUAAGAAAAAUUAUAAAUGUUUUUAUUAUAUACUUAAUGUGAUUUUUAAAUAUAUUUUAAUAAUAUAAAAUUAAAAAAAGAACUAAGAUACAAAAAUUGUUAUCAAAUAUUUAUUAUUCAUUAUAAUUAAUUUUUACAUAUACGUUAAUCAUAUUAGGUAAUUUCGUAGCUUUUAUUUAAGGAAAGUGCAAAACAUUUUUUGGUACGUUAUUUAUCAAUUCGAUAGUUAGUUUAAUAAAAAGUGUAAUAUAAGUUAAGAUGGACCAACCUAUUUUUCUAGGAAUAGUAUAUUUUGUAUAGUUAUUUAUUAAAUAAGAAUUUAUAAUCAUACGGUUCUAUGAUCGUUCAUAUCGUUUUAUAACAAAAUAUUUAAAUCAUCGAUAACAAAAUUUUCAAUCUGAAAUCUUUAAUAAGUUUAUAAUUUAUAAAUGUUCUUGAAAAUUCAUUGAAAGUUUUAAUAUUAAAAUAUUUAUGUAAUCUUAUGGUAUAUAGUGUUUAAUAUAUAUAUAUAUAUAUAUAUAUAUAUAUUUAUUUAUUUUAUUAUUAAAUGAUAUUUUUACUCAUAUGGUUUUAAAAUCAUGUGUAUCUUCUUAUAAUAAAAAUGUUAAACCAUUGAUCAUUAAUUUUUAACAUAAUAAUUUUAAUAGUUUUAGUCAUUUAUUGUCGUUUUUAAAAAUUCAAAAUAUAACAUAUACGAAAAAAUCUAAAUUUUAUUUUUAUAGCUAAUUUGAUUGUUUAAUUUAUUUUAAUAAUAUAAAAUUAAACAAAAAAUGAUGGAGGAGAUAUAUAUUGUUAUCAAAUCUUUAUUAUUAAACUCAUUAAUUGUCAUAUAUAUAUUAGUCAUUUAUGGUAAUUCCGUAGGUUUUAUUUAAGGAAAGAAAAUAUCAUAUCAUAUCAUUAUAUCAUAUAGUUUGACCAACUUAUGUAUCUAACAACAUAUAAAAAUCGAAUGUGGACCUACUUAUUUUUCAAUUGAAUGUAAUUGACUACCUAAUUGAGUGACACCUAUGCAUUGGGGCCUCUUUUAAUUAAUACAAAAUUGAGGUUACAUCUUUUCAAAUGUUCCUCAAUUAAUAUAUAAGGGAUCUACUAAACUAGUCUCGUAGACAUGGUCAUGGACUCAUACUGGUGUAACAAUGUUUACAUCAUCGAUAUACAGGGUCGAUAUAUCUACAAAUCUUUCAUAUACUACCCCAUUUAGAAUACGAUUUUUUUCUUCAAAAUAUAUUUCACCAAUAAUGUGAACAUAUAUGUGUAUAUAAUAUAUAACCAAUUCAUUAUCUUUUCGUACAUUCCAAGGUUGUAUAGAGAAUAUCAAGAAACCAACACAUAGUUAAUAUUGGCCCAUUCUAUACAAGAAACGAGGUUCAUAAGUGGGCAUAUAUCAGAUGUGUUACAAAAAACAAAAAAAAAUUUAUGUAUAUCAUAGUAUAUUUUUUUUUGUCAACAGUAUAUCAUAUAUAUAUAUAUACAUAAAAAGGUUAUAAUUUGCCAGAACUAGAGUUAACUUGAUAGUGAUAUGAGUGGAAGAGCAUACAUAUCCUGAACAGACAGAACCAUUCUCUAUAGUUUCGUUAUGAUACCGUAGUAGUAGUAGUUUUUUUUUUGCUAAGUCAGUCGUAGUAGUAUUAGAACAUAUCUGAAAAGACCGUGGCUCUACUGUUUUACAUCUUUAGUUAGAGGAAGAGCUAAGCUACUCUUUGGAGAUGAUCUUGUUUGUUUGUUUUGUGUGGCUCCGAGGAACUAUUAUUGAGCCCGGAGCACCGUGGCCUCUGUUAUGUUUGCUCCGGCAAGAGUUGUCUUUGUCUCUUCCAUAUCAUAGCCUGCGUUAGAGACAUUCACGGAAUUAAUAAGUCAGAACACAACGACUGUUCAAAGUGAUUUAGUAAACAUAAGAGAGGAAACUUACAGUCAAGAAAAUAAACUGAGCUCACAAGAUGUAAAGUGAAGAGAUACUAACUGCUACUAAACCGAAUGUGACACAUGCCUCAACACUCUCUGGUUUCUUAUAUUCGGUUGUUAAGUGCAUAACAUCUCCAUAAGAAAGACACCAUGUAGAGGCAAUUGCUAAUUUUUGUUUCUUCUGACCUCUUAAGUCUCUUAAUCACAUUUAAACAGAAAAAAUCCCGUUUAUAAAUUGCAAGAGAUAGUGACUGCAACAAACAUAAUUCUCUCAAAAGAUGGAUUAUACACAAAAAGGGAUAUACAAACUUACAAAGAGAGAAUCCGUAACUUCGAGAAACAGAUUCCAAAACUCGAUAUGGUGGUCAAAGACCAAAACUAAUAAGUCAUAAGGUUACAGAAACAUCAUCUGUUGUAAGUGUCCCAGUCAAAGUUGGGUUGAGAAUAAGCUUCGUAAUCAACUGGCCCGUCGACGAUGCUAUCAACGGUCUGAAUACUCCUGAGAAGAGCCGGCUGAUACCGUUCUGUAUCCGAAGGCAAAAGCUUGUACAUCACAAGCAACCCAAGCGUGAAAAUCGCUUGAAGCUUCGUGGAAUCUCCUUUGACAGAGAAGAAAAACAGCAUGGAGACGAUGUACAGGUCGAUGCAGAACCGCAUGAUGCACAAAACCGUGUCCAUCAGCUUCCCUUCGUUCCCUGCAGGGAAGCCGCGGACUCUGUACACGUAUAGGAAGUUGUAUUUGUCGACAAUGUAUCUGUAACCAAAGUAAACCGCUCCUACGGGAACCACGAGUGGAGCGAACGAAGAGUAUAUCAUUGUCAAGGCAAAGAUGGUGAGGUUGAAGGCAUAGUAUUGUGCAAAGUCGAACUUUUGCUUUGGGAUUGGUGAGGUUCGGCUGAUUGGGUACUCAGCAAGGUCUUGGCUCAUAGGUUCAACGUCGCCGAAUCUUGGAGACUCGAACAUGUUUUCAGGGAGAAGCGGCGUCUCAAGGUUGCUUUGAUUUUCCAAAGGGUACUCUUCGUUUUGCUCGGGGACUAGCUGAAGCAUAUCGUUCUUCCUGAACUUCUGGAUUUUUUUCUUGAUCCAAGGGAUUGGAGCGAGUAGAUCAAAGGAGAUUCCCAAGAACGUGCUUGUGAUGAGGAACGCUAGAGCGGAAACGCAUGACCUUGAUAAGAAGGAAGGGCUCACGUAUUCUUCAAUCCUCUUGCAAUCCUCGCCGUCUAAGUAGCAGCGGCUCAUUUUCAAGAACGCGCUUUCAAGCGACGACUCGACGAGAGCCUUUAGCACGAUGAGGUUCACGAGGAAGAAGCAAACCAUCUUCAAGAGAGCUGCUCUUUGUUCCCCUGAGACAGUUAGGUGCCGCUCGAACUUGGAAAGGUAGGAGAGAGCAGAAGGGAUGAUAAUGUACAUGCUAACGAAUAUGAACACGUUGGGCAUGAACUGAAAAAUCAGAGAACCGAUCCAGCCAGAAGUUUGCACCCAAGUGAGCCAAGACUGAGCACUAUCCAACGCUUCAGCAUUAAAGAUUCUCCCGGCACUCACCAAUGCACUAAUCAACGCCAAUGGAGAGCUGAAAAACACAAGAAUCAACAGAAGAAUAGUGUUAACAAUCACUCUUCUCACGAUAAGAGCGAUCUUAGUCAACCCCAGAUGAUUCCAGUAAAUAUCAGUCGCCAAGGGAGCUCUCUCAACUUUCCACUGGUUUCUCUGUAGUCUUAGCUCUGUGACAGAGAAGAACUUCCCAGUCCGCCUUGACCUCUCGUUUCUGAAAUCCUGAACAGCCUUGUUAGCUGUGUAAACAUCUUUAAACACCACAAACGCAACACCAGCGCCUUGUGCACGCCCUUCUUUAUAAAACGCUAACUGAGAUUCCAAAUCAGCUCUCAGCUCUUGCAGCUUCCUCAGCUUCUCAUCAUCUGUAAAACCAAACCUCUCUGUAACCCCAGACCACAAAACCUUCACCUUAGCCCACAAAGCAAACACAUAAGACAAUACUCCUUCAUCUCCACUAUUCUCAAACUCAUCCGGCAACAACCUAGAGUCCAUCUUCGCAACCAACCAAGUGAUCUCAUCCCUAACACGAACCAACUCCGUUGCCAGAUCAUCCAACGCACACAGAUCCAUAGGAACAAUAAUCUUAUAAACCUUCCCAGGAUACUUCUGCCGAAAACACUCCUCAAACUCAACUCUAUCAGACCCUAGAUUCUUAGGCAAGCCCUGCACCAUCACAGUAAACACAGCCGUGGAAUCCGCAUUGGGGUCACUCACAUUCCCAUUCCCAUCUCUAAACCUAGUAAACUUCAACCUAGCUUCAAUCGCCGAGAUUCCAAAAUGCGAGAUCACCACAACAACAACCACAAAAACAAAAUGCAGCCAGAGCAAGGCCGAGCCUUUCUUGAUAUGCGUGAUCAUGGUCUUCGAAAGCUCGUCGCUCAACACAGCAGUCCCCGCGUAGAGAUUCAAAGGCAACAUAACGGAGAGAGCCAAAAGGGCGAUGGAGAAGAGAAGCACGAAGCUCCCGCCUUCGAUCAAGAGGAACUGAGCGGCGUCGGCGCCGCAGUGGCGAGCGAUCUCGCGGCACGUGGCGGACCAGACGGCGAGGAGCUUGGAGAGGAGAGCGGAGGGACCGGGCAUGCGGCGGUGGUCGCUGCGGAGCUUGAGGAAGAGGAAGAUGGAGACGCAGCAUAGGAGGCCGAUCAUGGAGAUGUUGAGGAGGUACUGGAUGUUUCCGUACCAGGCAUCGGGGAUCUCGGGUAAGUCGCCGGAGGAUGGGGGAGGAGAGGAGGAGGAGGAGGAAGAGAGCGGCGGCGGCGUCGCGGCUGGCGAAAAACUGCGAUGCAUCGCGAAUUUUUUUCCUAUCAAAGCUUCAAUUUUUAAGCAACACAGAGCUUCGGUUUUUCUUCAGAUUCAAUGAGGAGAGGAUUUGGGGAUUUAGGGUUUGGUUUCGAUCGACAAAGGAUUGUGAUCGAAGAAGAAGGAAGAAUUGCGAUCGAAGAAGAAGGAAGGAAUCUUAUCUCACAGAUUCUAUUUUCCUUCAUUAUGUUUGUUUAUUAUUUAUCAUCUGGUCCCUGUAGUUUUAACUAAUUAAUAAAAAUGUAUAUAAUCUCUUAUAUACUAUAGUACAAGUCGAUUCACCAAUCAAAUUUCGAUAAAUCGCAUAUUUAAUAGCACAAAAACUAAAGGCAAAAGUUAAAGUUUUGUAUCCCUUACAUAGUUCCUAUUUUUCUAUACAAAUAAAAUAAAAAAUCUCUAAUCUCAAUUCCAAAACACCCAUGAUCCCACUAUUUUUUUUGGAGUAGUUAAUCUUUUUUAUAGAUAAGGUUAACUGAUGAUACCAUUAGGGCAUGAUUAACUCCGGUCUCUUAACCGAUGUUCUUAAUUUAUAAUUUGACUUUUUUUUACACUUUUCGGUUAAGAAACGGCUUUUAGGGCAUGAUUAUUAGAGGUCCUUGCUCUUGGGUCCUUAAUACACAUAUAUUUGUAUGUAUAUAUAUAUAUAUGCGUAUAUAAUUGCAGGCUAAGGAUUUUACAGAAACUCAAACCGAAAGUUCCUUAAAUACAAAUAUAUGUGUAUUAAGGACCCAGAGCAGGGACCCCCAAUAAUCAUGUCCUUAUAUCUCUUAUUUAAGAGACAGCCCUUAUUUUUCUUUAGUUAAAAUUUAAGAAAAGUUAAGAACCGUUUCUUAUCCGAACCUAAGAACUUCAAUUAAGAAACUGAGGUUAAUGGUGAACAGUUGUAAGUGAUAUAAAUUAAGAUAUAAUAAAAUUGAAUAGUUUUCAACAUAGAUGAGUGAAAGUAAUUAAUCAUGAUAUUCUUGGAUUUAGGAUUUGGUAACAUAUGUUAUAGUAUUGUAUGUAUUUUUAGAGUUUGAUUUUGGAAAGAUUAAAUGUUUUUUUGAAAAAUUAAUUUUUUACCUAUAUGUGUUGAUUGAUGUGUAUAGUAAACACUUUUUAAGUUUAAUUUGGUUUUAUGAAGUGUUUAGUUAAUUAAUUUAGUGUAGAUAUUAUGUUUAGGGUCUAGACGACUAACAUAUAUAUUUAUUCUAAGAUAAGAAAAAUAUUUGAUUUUAGUGUAUAGAUAUUAGUUGUUAUUUUUUGAAAUUUGACAUUUAUAUUAUUUUUGUUAUAUUAUUUGAUGAAUAUAAUAUAUAGUUUAUAUAUAAUAUUACUAAAUCUCAUCAAAAAUAUAUUAAGUUUUAAGGAAAUAUAAAGAUAAUUCCAUUGUGAAUAUAAAACAAACAAUAUAAUAGGUUCUUACUUAUAUAAAAUAUGUAUACAUAUAAAUUAUUAAUUUAUAAUUAUAAUGAGACCAUAUAUUAACAUAGAAUUUUCUAAAAAAUCUUAUCUUAUUAUUUUAUCGAUUUGUAUCAAAUUUUGAAUCGAUCUAAAUUAGAACCGGCAAAAUUUAUUAGUUUGUAAAGUUUAUUAAUUUAUCGAAUAUUAAUUUACAGAGAUUCUAUUGUAGAUCAAAGAAGAACUGACGAAGACAACUAAUAUACGUUAGUGCGAUAUGUGAAAAUUAUUGACCAAGAAGUUGCAUGAAACUCUAUCCAAGUUAUUCCAAACUUAAAAAAGGAAAAGUUAUUCGAUGCAUGAUGAACUUUUUUUUUUUUUUGGGGUCAUGGACUCAUGGCACAUGUGCAAGGUGGAAGGAUCAGGAGCUCCGAAUAUUCAGUAAAAAAAGUAAAAUAAUUAAUUAAAUUAUUAUUCAUUUGAUGCAAAAAAAAAAAACAGUGAAUAUUCAGGAAAAAAAAAUCAAAGCAGCCAUCACUUCUGAAGAGAAGAGCCCCCACACGCAUAUUUUCAGAUAUUUUUUUUUAUUCCUACAUAUAAAAAUCUUUAUCGUCGUCUUCCGAUUCAUCGCAUCGCCAACUCCGCAAACUCAGAUCUCUGAUUUGCUUCUUCAUCCAUGGGUACCUACCUGCUCUCUCCAGUUCUGUCUAUGAUCCAAAACGAUUCAUUAUUAUUUGGCUUUGUUAUUUGAUUUGAUUUUGUUUGUCUCGAUCCGAUGCGUUUUCAGCUUCCGAGAAUCCUUUCCGCAGCAUACUGAAGACGCUAGAGAAGCCCGACGGUGGCGAAUUCGGAAACUACUACAGCUUGCCAGCUCUGAACGAUCCGAGGAUCGGUGAGUGUUCGCUUCCAUCUGAUGAUCGUUAGCUAGGAACAAAAAUAGUCAGAGAUUCAUUUUGUUGUGGAUGAUGCAGAUAAGCUCCCUUAUUCCAUUAGGAUACUUCUCGAAUCGGCUAUACGUAACUGUGAUGAGUUUCAAGUUAAGAGCAAAGAUGUUGAGAAGAUUCUUGAUUGGGAGAAUACUUCUCCCAAACAAGUUGAGAUUCCGUUCAAACCUGCUCGUGUGCUUCUUCAGGUAUACACAGGCUAAGAUAAGGCACAUGAUUGAGAAUUGUUUGAUCGUAAUUCUCAGAUUAAAGGGCGAAACAUAAUCAACUUUGAAUGGGAUAUCGAUUGCUUGUUGAACCCUGUGAAUUGCGGAAAGAGUGCUAUACACGUUCUUGUUGAGAUAAUAAGUUUGCUUGUAUUUAUGUAUCAAUAAAAACUAUAUAUUUGAUCGUAUAACAUUUAUUUUGUAAUAGUUUCAAACCCCAUAAAUCUCAUUUCCGGAAAUAGAUUGAUUUUAAAGUCAUUUUUUUUUCUGUUUGUUUUCAGGACUUUACUGGUGUCCCUGCAGUUGUUGAUCUUGCUUGCAUGAGAGAUGCUAUGAAUAAUCUCGGUGGUGAUUCUAAUAAGAUUAAUCCUCUGGUUAGUUUUCGCUGCUAUUUACUGAGAUUGGUUGAUAUUAUUUGUCUGUAUGGUAUGGUACAAGGUUUUUUUUUUGUACAUGCAGGUCCCUGUAGAUCUUGUCAUUGACCACUCGGUUCAAGUGGACGUGGCGAGAUCAGAGAACGCAGUGCAGGCCAACAUGGAGCUUGAGUUCCAGCGUAACAACGAAAGAUUUGCUUUUCUUAAGUGGGGUUCCAAUGCCUUUGACAACAUGCUUGUCGUUCCUCCUGGAUCUGGAAUUGUUCAUCAAGUAAGUAAUAAGAGUUCUGAAAUUAAGUGUUAUUUGUUUGGAACGUUGGGAGUCUUUUUGAUGUUUAUUCAAGAUAAAUGCCUCACAGUUCUAUAAUUUUGCGAUUUUCAGGUCAACCUAGAGUACCUUGCCAGAGUUGUUUUCAACACAAAUGGACUUCUUUACCCAGACAGUGUUGUUGGGACAGACUCUCACACCACUAUGAUUGAUGGACUCGGUGUUGCUGGGUGGGGAGUUGGUGGUAUAGAAGCGGAAGCUACCAUGCUUGGUCAGGUAAAUUGUAUGAUCUUUCUGUCAAGUACUCAGAACGAACUGUCUGAAGUCUUUUGCAGUUGAGAUUUGAACACUUUACUGAUAUUUCUUCUAUUAUAAACUGUAACAUGGAUAUAUCUCUUUCUAUGCAGCCAAUGAGCAUGGUCCUGCCUGGUGUUGUGGGUUUCAAGUUAACGGGUAAACUAAGAGAUGGAAUGACGGCUACUGAUUUGGUCUUAACAGUGACUCAGAUGCUGAGAAAACAUGGAGUAGUUGGAAAGUUUGUUGAAUUCUAUGGUACAUUCAUGAAAAACUUGAUAACCAUAUAUGCCAUUUUCUUUUACUUACACUGUACCUGACUGAGCUAGGCUAACUCACAUAUGCACCCAUUGCUUUUUGCUACACAGGGGAAGGGAUGAGAGAAUUGUCUUUAGCUGAUCGUGCUACAAUUGCUAAUAUGUCUCCCGAGUACGGUGCAACCAUGGGAUUCUUCCCCGUCGAUCAUGUGACUUUGCAGUAUCUCAAGUUGACAGGCAGGAGCGAUGAAACUGUAAUGGGAUACACGGGGAAUCUACUUUUUUUUGUGAUUGCGUUUCCAUCAGGGUAGUAAUUUGUGAAUUGAAUUUCAGGUCUCUAUGAUAGAGGCGUAUUUACGAGCAAACAAGAUGUUUGUGGACUACAGUGAGGUAAAUCCUGGACUCUGUUACCUCAUUUCUUUUGUUUAUUUUCAUCUAUCAUAGAGCAUAACACAUUCUCCACUUGGGGACUUCUUUCUCUCAGCCGGAGAGUAAGACCGUAUACUCCGCAAAUCUGGAAUUGAAUCUCGAGGAUGUGGAACCUUGUAUUUCUGGUCCCAAGAGGUACUAAUAGCAAAAUUGUUCUACAUAAGUUUUCUAGGAUGUAUUCUGAUUAUAACAUUUAUUCUCUAUGCAACAGGCCACAUGAUCGCGUUCCUUUGAAGGAAAUGAAAGCGGACUGGCAUUCUUGCUUGGAUAAUAGAGUAGGAUUCAAGGUUAGAAUUAUUCUUUCUUGUUCAGAAGAAAUUCUUAAUGUGAAUGCUUGCAGUCCCGAGGGUUUAGUAGGAAAUUAUAGCCCAUCUAGCAAAACUGUUACUGUGGUUUUCUAACAAUAGUAGGUAUUAUGUCGAGGUGUUUGAGUCAUUAAAUUGGUGCAAUAGACAACUGUGUCCUGCAACACAAUUUAGUCCCAGUAUACAAAAGUUGUGGUUAGUGAUCCUACUUCUCAAUGAUAUUCUCAGGGGUUUGCUGUACCAAAAGAGGCGCAGAGCAAGGCUGUCGAGUUCAACUUUAACGGAACCCCAGCACAGCUUAGACAUGGAGAUGUUGUUAUAGCAGCAAUCACCAGUUGCACAAAUACCUCAAACCCUAGUGUUAUGCUUGGCGCUGCCUUGGUUGCAAAAAAGGCUUGCGAACUAGGACUGGAGGUUCGACUACUGCCCUUUCUAGCCAUCUCUUUUGUGUGAACAUGUUUUGAUAUCAAAUGGAAGUUAUACAAGUGUUUGAAAUUUCUCCAUUGUUAGGUUAAGCCAUGGAUUAAAACUAGUCUUGCUCCUGGCUCUGGAGUUGUAACAAAGUACUUGGCAAAGAGGUACUGCAAAUACACCACUGAAUGUUUUGUUAUUUAUUUCCUCCUGGUAUCAUGUGGUCCUGAGUUUUGAGUCUUGCAGUGGCUUGCAGAAAUACUUGAAUCAGCUUGGAUUCAGUAUAGUUGGUUAUGGGUGCACCACAUGCAUCGGAAACUCGGGGGAUAUCCAUGAAGCUGUGGCUUCAGCAAUAGUUGAUAAUGGUAAGUCCUCGAGUAAUGACUAAAUGCUUAUUCACUUUAAUUUUCGUAGGUGGAACUAAAAAUAUUUCUGAUCUAUGUACAAGACUUGGUGGCAUCCGCUGUGUUGUCCGGGAACAGAAACUUUGAGGGACGUGUUCAUCCAUUAACAAGAGCGAACUAUCUAGCUUCCCCUCCGCUUGUUGUAGCCUAUGCACUGGCUGGCACUGUAUGUUAAUGCUUACUCUAAACCCUUGCACAACAAUUAAGUAUUCUUGAUAAUGUUAUCAAGCACUGAAUAAAUUCCAUGAAUGUUCUUGCAGGUUGACAUUGAUUUUGAGACGGAGCCCAUUGGAACUGGGAAAGACGGCAAACAGAUAUUUUUCAGGGACAUAUGGCCCUCUAACAAAGAAGUUGCCGAGGUAAAUAUAUUGCGGGCUGCUCGUGCAAUACAUAAACAAUUAAGAGAUUUUAAUAGUUAGAAGGGAUGUCAAAUUCUCUGUUUCGUUUUUUAUAGGUUGUGCAAGCCAGUGUCCUUCCUGACAUGUUCAAAGCUACAUAUGAAGCAAUCACCAAAGGGAACUCCAUGUGGAACGAGUUAUCCGUAGCGUCGGGCACACUCUACGAAUGGGAUCCGAAAUCAACUUACAUUCACGAGCCGCCUUAUUUCAAGGGCAUGACCAUGUCUCCACCCGGUCCACAUGGUGUGAAAGACGCGUACUGUUUGCUCAAUUUCGGAGACAGUAUAACCACUGAUCACAUCUCACCAGCUGGUAGCAUCCACAAGGACAGUCCAGCGGCUAAGUACUUGAUGGAACGAGGGGUGGAUAGAAGAGACUUCAACUCUUACGGGAGUCGCCGUGGUAAUGAUGAGAUAAUGGCGAGAGGCACUUUCGCCAAUAUCCGUAUUGUCAACAAACACUUGAAAGGAGAAGUUGGUCCCAAAACAGUUCACAUUCCCAGUGGAGAGAAGCUUUCUGUCUUCGAUGCUGCCAUGGUAUAAACAUCAACUUCUAGCUCUUUAAUCAUGAAAAGCUUUGGAAACAGAAUGGCAUUGUCCUUAUCAGAUUGUAUUUUCUUUUGUGUGUUGUACCAGAAAUACAAGAACGAGGGACGUGACACAAUCAUUUUGGCUGGUGCUGAGUAUGGAAGUGGAAGUUCUCGUGAUUGGGCUGCUAAGGGUCCAAUGCUUCUGGUACGUUCCUGGCUUAUAUGCUUUUUUCCGUCUUUAACAAACUCAAUUUUUUACAUGGUUUUAAAAUGUAUUACAACAACAGGGAGUGAAAGCUGUGAUCUCAAAGAGUUUUGAGAGAAUCCACCGAAGCAAUCUGGUGGGAAUGGGAAUCAUACCAUUGUGCUUCAAGACAGGAGAAGAUGCGGAGACUCUACGCUUAACAGGCGAGGAGCUUUACACCAUUGAGCUCCCAAGCAAUGUCAGUGAGAUCAAACCAGGACAAGAUGUAACGGUCAUUACAAACAAUGGCAAAUCUUUCACAUGUACACUCCGAUUCGACACAGAGGUAAAAAGAAUAAAAAAAAAACUCAUCUUGAUUCUUCUAGCUUUAAAAGAGACGGCAGAUGUUAAGUAAGAUGGAUUUGAAAUGGCAGGUGGAGUUGGCUUACUUCAAUCACGGAGGUAUAUUGCAAUACGUAAUCAGGAAUCUGAUCAAACAGUAAUAAAUCUGGUAAGCCACGAGGGACUUCAUGUCAAUGUGAACUUUGCUUCAUGCUACAGUCUCUUGGAACCAUUGUCACUUUCACUGUCACAAUCGUUUUCUAAAUUUGAAAUAAAAUAUGAGCACUCUUUUGUUUUACCAGGAGAAAAUGGAUCGGUAUUAUUUAUUUAUUGUCUAUCGAACAAUAAGAUUGAGGUUUUUUUUUACUAUAGUUGAUAAGGUAACAUCAGCUACAUAAGUUUAGCUGCUGCAGAGUUUGAGAGCUUUUAAGAGACGUAUCAGUAUGAAAUUGAAAAUGAUACACAUACUAGUUCAUGUUGUUAGUUAGAUUUGGUCAUGUAAACCUGCAAAAGACGACAGAUACAUUAAAACAAUCAGAGACAAUACAAAGUAAUCAAUACUAAAGUGAGAUUAAGAGCGCUUUGACCUUGUGUUUCAAGAAAAAAGAAAAAAAAAGAGAGCUUUAACCUCUUAAAAAGCCAUCUUCAUUUUAUUCAAGCCGUGUACUCGUUAAAGUGAAACCAUUUAGUUGAUGACCACUUGUUUCCUUUGAUCACGGGACAACCACCUGAAAUCAACCAGACAACCUUUUGAGAUAUUUGGUUCAAAGAAAGGCAAUCUAUCUCUGUUUCUUACCAUGCAAGCUUGAAGGGUCUAGCGACGCAUCAGGCCUCGCGCUCCAGAAGAGUAAAGCAUCUCUUUUCUUUGGUAAAACAGAGAGUCCUUCUCUACCACAUUGUGAGAGCUCGUUCCACCACGGGACAUCACUUAUGUUUCCUUUGGCUGCAGGGAAAACCGUCUCACCGCCUUCUUCAACAUCCGAGCUAAGAUAGUAGUACAAUCAAAGAAAGAUUAUUACAUCUAACGCAUUGAUGAUCAUGAGAAAGAUUGUGAAACUUUAUAGUUAACAUACAGAUACAUGAGUACAGUAGCUAUUCGGUUCCCUCCUCUUUUGACAUUGUACUCGUCUGAGAAAUAAUCAUGAUGAGGCUCAUAUUUCUGCCCAACUUCGUAAUGUAGAACUUGUAGCCCUUCUCCAUUUUCUACAGUUACAUCACACAUUAACUCAACAAGAAGAGUGUCUCCACCAAAAUUUAGACUAAGACGACCAACUUCUUUUUGUUCGGUCUGACAAUCUAAACCGGUACCAAGUUUUGGAGAACUAAAAGGACAGAGGCUACGUACCUACAGGAAUGAAGGUGAAAUCUGAGAUUCUGUUCUCAAUCUCUUCCACUAUUUCGUCUUGUCCUCUUUUAAGAAAAGUUCCUGAGCUUGUUCUUACUCUGCACAUUAUUCGAUUUGUAAGAUUUAGAAUUAAACUUGAAGGAGAAAAAUAUAUCAAUGAGUAACAGAACCUGCUGUCUUUGCUUCCUCCAGUUUUCACAUCAACCACCUUUGACUUUUUCAUGCUAGGUUUCGCGAGGCUAAUCAAGUGCUCACAUUCUUCAUUUGUCUUGCAAAAUUUUAAAGAACACACAGAGCCCAAGAUCAAAAUUACAAACACUUUUUAAUGUAUUUAGAUAGUGUCAAACAUGUGUUCCCUAUGACUUUUGAUUGGAAGAGUAAGAGAUCUAAACACAAGGGAAAUUUUUAAACUAGUAAGUUAAUAUUCCAUCGCUUGUGUGACAAGAAACAUCUUGAAUAAGCAUAUGAUGAAGCAAAGUUCUAAACACAUGGAAAAUUAAACCAAGUUCAGAUUUCUUCUCUUGUAUGACAAGAAACAUAUUUAACUAUAUGAAUAAGCAUGAUGAAGUUAAGUUCUUUAUAAAUCAUAUAAGGCCCUGUUCGUUUGUACAUCUGGAAGAUGCAUCCAGAUGGUCCAUCUAGAUGUCUUAUCCAGAUGUUUCAUCUGAGUGUUGUUCGUUUCUUCAUUUCGUCCAUGUAUCCAGAUGAGUCAUCUGAAUGCAACUAUGUUCGUUUGCUUUUCAUUUUGUAACUUCCAUCUCUAUCUAAGUGGACUUGUUAAUAAAAUGAAUAAAAUAUAAUUUUUUACGUUUCGGCGGAAAAAUAGCAUUUUUACGGUUUUGGCCGAAAAUAUUUUUGCGGUUUUUGAGGAAAUAUGUGUUUUUCGCGAAAAAGUGCAUUUUUAUGGUUUUGGAGGAAAAAUAUGUUUUAUUGGUUUGGCGGAAAAAUACGUUUUUGCGGUUUGGACGGAAAAAAUGUGUUUUGAAGUUUUAGCGGGAAAAGGGUUUUUGACGGGAAAUUUCUUUUUUCACGAUUUUGGCGGGAAAAGUUUUUUUCGCAAUUUUGGCGGGAAAAGCAUUUUUGCGGUUUUGGCGGGAAAAUACAUUUUUUCGGUUUUGGCGGAAAAAUGCGUUUUCCGGUUUUGGCGGGAAAAUACAUUUUUCCGGUUUUGGCGGGAAAAUGUGUUUUCCGGUUUUGGCGGGAAAAUGUGUUUUCCUGUUUUUGCAGAAAAAUGUGUUUUCCUGUUUUUGCGGGAAAAUGUGUUUUUCCGGUUUUAGUGGGAAAAUGUAUUUUCCAAUUUUGGCGGGAAAAUACGUUUUCUGUUUUUGGCGGGAAAAUUUCAUUUUCUGGUUUUAGUGGUAAAAUUGUAUUUUUCAGUUUUGGCGGAAAAAUGCGUUUUUCUGGUUUUGGCGGGAAUAUUCUGUUUUUCGGUUUCGGCGGGAAUAUUCUGUUUUCCGGUUUUGGCUGGAAAAUUCUGUUUUCCGGUUUUGGCGGGAAAAUACAAUUUUUCGGUUUUGGCGGGAAAAUUGUGUUUUCCGGUUUUGGCGAGAAAAUGCUUUUUGCGGUUUUGGCCGAAAAAUGCUUUUUGGAGUUUUGGCGGGAAUUUGCGUUUUUUUUGUUUUGGCGGAAAAAUGCAUUUUUUUCGGUUUUGGUCGAAAAGUGCGGUUUUACUGGUUUAGCCGAAAAAUGUGUUUUUAUGAAAAUGUGUGUUUUAUGUUUUUUUUGUGGAAAAACGCAUCUUGCGGUUUUGGCGGGAAAGUGUAUUUUUUAGUUUUUGCGAGAAAAUGCAUUUUUUAGUUAUAGCGGAAAAAUGUAUAUGCAAAAAAAUAAAAUUUACGGUUUGAAAAUAAUAUUUUUAUUUUAAAAAAUCAUUUUUGUCACUUAUCAUUUUGGACUGAACUAGAUGCAUCUGCAUCCAGAUGCACCAUCAAGACUCACCUUCAUUUGGGUGAGUAUUUGAGAUGAGUUUUUAAAAAUUCAGCUGGGUGAUCUAUCUGGAUGUAGCAUUAUAAUGCACAAAACGAACAUCAAUUUGCAUCUUCACCCAGAUGGAUCAUCCGGGUGUGCAAACGAACAGGGCCUAACAAAUCUAAAUCACAAUUGUAGCAAACAUAUAAUUACCAUGAAAUUAUGAUAAAGGAAAGCUCUAGGCUCCCACGAGAUAACUUCGACCCAACGGUCACCAUUACCAUCUUCAUUUCCAUAGCUCUCCCUGCUUGAUAAAUUCAAAUCUAUUACUCAACCAGGAAACGAAGAUAACUUGCCAAAUAAGCGAAAGAAACCCUAACCUCUCCUCGCUAUCCCGUAUAAUUGUGGUCAAAUCAACCGGCCUUGAAGAGUUCCUGCUGGUGUUAGGUAGUGAAAGGAUACCGAGACCAAGAAGAAUCAUGAUGAAGAAGAGUAGAAGAAUGAUAACUGUGAAAGCCUGCGUAGUCGUCGAUGAAGAUUUACGCGGCUGAUGACGGAGGUGAUACGGUUUCUUGGCCAUUUGAGUUUUAUCUAUAAGUUUUCAAGAACUGUAGAGAAUCUGAUAUGUCGAAAGAUAUGUUACAAUGAAAACAUGUAAACAUCCAUCAUGAACUUAUUAACCAGGAUAUUUAUUACUCUGCUUUAGUAGAGAAAAUAGGGUAGAUCAAAAAUUUAAUUUUAUCAACACAUCUCGUCAACUCAUUCUCUAUAUAAUCUAAAUGGAUAUUUAUAUCAAAUUUCAUGCUAAAUAUAGUUUGAAAACAAGCUAAGAAAAAAAAUUGUAAUUUGCAAAGACGGUAUCUGUAUUUUCAAGAAAUUUUAAGAACUGUGGACAAGUGAAAUAAACUAGUUAGUUCAAUUCAAUAUUAAAAAUUAGUUUCCCUUGGGGAUAUUUAAGGAGUUAGGCAUUUCCUAUACUAAGAUGAAUUAUAGAUAUCUUAAAGUUUCAACCUAAUUGCAUAGUUUAUAUUUAUAAAUUGUUACAGCAUAUGGAUUCUUUUCUUAUUUUCUAGCUUUGAGCCACUUGCGGUUAGUUAAUUAAUUGUUAGAACCUUUAUUGUUUGGUAUUUCUAGCAUACUGUUCAGCUUUCACCAAUGUAGUUAAGUGAGGUUACUAAUGUCGUCAUCGUUUUGUUUUACUCAUAGAUAAAUCCUACAUUGGUUUGUUCACGACCAUUUUUAUUUCAGUGUUCUCAUGCAAUAAAUCUUUAGAUGAAAGUUAAACUAGUAGCUGAAAUAUAUUUGAUUAAACUUGUCAAUUGCUACAUUACAUAUAAGAUUGAGACUGGUUAAAAAAUAAAAGUAAAGAAAGAUAAAGACUGGUUAUAUUAACACAUUAUUCAUCAUAUAUCUUAGCGAAUUAGCCUGCUUAUUGUAAUUAAUUUUUAUCCCCCCCCCCCUACACCAAAAAAAAAAAAUUAACCCUACUUAAUUGUAAUGUUAAGAAUGUGAACCAAGUUCACCAACAAAAGAAAAUUAAAACAAGCCGAGCUUAAUGGUUCUUUUGAGAAAACUACUGUUAUUCUGACUUUUUCAUGUGUGAAAAUUAAAACAAGCCGAGCAUAAAAAUUCGUUACAUCGGUACAGAAAACCGGAAUUGAACAAGAAAUCUAAACCAACUAAACCGAAUCUUGAACUCUUAAUAACCAUAGACACAUGGCUUUCAUGUUUCAUCCAAAGUUAAAAGAGGGAAAAAAUUGGGUUAUACACGCCCCACUUAAUCCGAACAGACCUCCAAAUCCAACGCGCCGUUUUUUUCUAUAAAUAGAUUACAGAAACUGAUAAAUGAUAGCUGGGCCUCAGUCAUUUACGGCCCAUUAAAACCGACUCUGCAGAGACGAUUUUUCUAUAAAUAGAUUACAGAAACCGAUAAAUGAUAGUUGGGCCUCAGUCAUUUACGGCCCAUUAAAACCGACUCUGCGGAGACGAUUUUUCUAUAAAUACAGAGCUUAGGGCAUCGAAAUCCCUCUUUGCUCGUUCCUCUCAUCGCGAAGAGACGAGAGAAAUCCAGAUCUGGUCGUCUCCAAAAAAAAACCAAACGAAAAAAAAAAAAUUAGCUCAAGUAGACUGUUAACUUACUCAUUUGAAAGAAAGGGAAACACCAAUUGGGGUUUAAUUUCAAUUUGAAUCCUCCUCUUUCAAUCCACGUUCUAGGGUUCUCGAUUCUUUCGAAUCCGUCUUUGAUCGGAGCUCCGCCGCCAUGGAUACGCGGUUCCCGUUCUCUCCGGCCGAGGUCUCCAAAGUCCGUGUGGUCCAGUUUGGGAUUCUCAGCCCCGAUGAGAUCGUAAUCCUCCUUUCUCUAGCUUAUUACUCCGCCCUCAAUUAGAGGGGGAAGUGUGUAGUAAUGGAGUUGAUAGGCUAAUGGAAUUUUUAUUUUGCAGAGGCAAAUGUCUGUUAUACACGUGGAGCAUAGCGAGACAACGGAGAAGGGAAAACCUAAGGUGGGAGGGUUGAGUGAUACUCGGCUUGGAACGAUUGAUAGGAAGGUGAAGUGUGAGACUUGUAUGGCUAACAUGGCUGAGUGCCCUGGGCAUUUUGGGCAUCUUGAGCUCGCUAAGCCUAUGUAUCACGUUGGUUUCAUGAAGACCGUGUUGAGUAUCAUGCGUUGUGUUUGCUUCAACUGCUCCAAGAUCCUAGCUGAUGAGGUGUGAACGAAUGUCAAUAUGUGAUUAUGAUUAUUAGAGAGGGAGGAUAGAUUGGAACUGUAUGAGUAUUUUUUUAAUCCAAUUUGUUUGUUUUUUUUUCGUGAAGGAUGAGCAUAAGUUUAAGCAGGCCAUGAAGAUUAAGAAUCCCAAGAAUAGGCUUAAGAAGAUUCUGGAUGCUUGCAAAAACAAGACCAAGUGUGAAGGUGGUGAUGACAUUGAUGAUGUUCAGACCCAAGACACAGACGAGCCUGUGAAGAAAAGCCGUGGUGGAUGUGGUGCAACGCAACCUAAGAUCACUAUUGAGGGAAUGAAGAUGAUUGCAGAGUUUAAGGUUACAAAGAAGAAAAACGAUGAGAUAGACCAGCUUCCCGAGCCUGCAGAAAGGAAACAAACACUUGGUGCUGACAGGGUUCGUCUCUUUUCUUUCCAUUUCUAAUGUACCAUUUCCCUUCAUGUUUGGGGUAAUCUGAUGGCAUGUGAAAUUCUUGCAGGUUUUGAGUGUUUUAAAGAGGAUUAGUGAUGAGGAUUGUCAGCUCUUAGGGUUCAACCCUAAGUAUGCUCGGCCUGACUGGAUGAUUCUAGAAGUCCUUCCUAUUCCUCCACCCCCUGUUAGACCAUCUGUUAUGAUGGAUGCCACUUCCAGGAGUGAGGCAAGUCUGGCUUUUCUUUACCGAAUAAAAAAGUUGCUUAGCUCCUAGUGGUGAUUUAGUCUGACGGGAAAAUAUUAUCUUCAUUUUCGACUAUGCCAACUGAUUGUGUCUCGCCUUGUUCAUGCUUCUUGUUGAUGCAGGAUGACUUGACUCAUCAGCUAGCUAUGAUUAUUCGGCACAACGAGAACUUGAAAAGACAGGAAAAGAACGGAGCCCCAGCUCACAUUAUUUCAGAGUUUACACAACUCCUGCAGUUUCAUAUAGCAACCUAUUUUGAUAAUGAGCUGCCUGGACAGCCAAGAGCUACUCAAAAAUCAGGGAGGCCUAUUAAAUCAAUUUGUAGUAGGCUGAAGGCAAAGGAAGGCAGGAUCAGGGGAAAUUUGAUGGGAAAACGUGUGGAUUUCUCGGCACGUACUGUUAUUACACCAGAUCCAACAAUAAACAUCGAUGAACUUGGUGUACCGUGGAGUAUUGCCCUGAAUCUCACAUACCCAGAAACAGUUACUCCAUACAACAUUGAGAGGUUAGUAUGUUUGGCGUUUAUUUUAUAUAAAGAGAGUCUUCCUCCAUGUUUUGUUGACAAUAUUUCAUUGGCAGAUUGAAGGAGCUUGUUGAUUAUGGACCACAUCCUCCACCUGGCAAGACUGGGGCGAAAUAUAUCAUUCGAGAUGAUGGCCAGAGACUAGAUCUUCGGUACCUUAAGAAGAGCAGUGAUCAUCAUUUGGAACUUGGAUACAAAGUGGAGAGGCACUUAAUUGAUGGCGAUUUUGUUCUUUUCAAUCGUCAACCAAGUCUGCACAAAAUGUCUAUCAUGGGUCACAGGAUUAGGAUCAUGCCAUAUUCCACCUUCCGUCUGAAUUUGUCUGUCACCUCUCCUUACAAUGCUGAUUUCGAUGGGGAUGAGAUGAACAUGCACGUACCACAGUCAUUCGAGACCAGAGCCGAGGUGUUGGAGCUGAUGAUGGUUCCUAAAUGUAUAGUCUCUCCUCAGGCAAAUCGGCCUGUGAUGGGUAUUGUGCAGGAUACCCUUCUAGGAUGCCGUAAAAUCACAAAAAGAGAUACCUUUAUUGAGAAGGUAAUCAUUUCUUUAGCGAUUACUUGCUGUAGUUCUCUCUGUGUUAAUUAAAAGUAACCUAAUUCCUCUGCUGAUAUCUUUUCCAUGUACAGGAUGUAUUCAUGAAUACGCUUAUGUGGUGGCAAGACUUCGAUGGGAAAGUUCCAGCUCCUACAAUUCUGAAGCCACGACCUCUUUGGACUGGCAAACAAGUCUUCAAUCUUAUCAUACCAAAGCAGAUAAAUCUGUUCAGGUACUCUGCUUGGCACUCAGAUGCAGAGACUGGAUACAUAACGCCAGGGGAUACCCAAGUGAGAAUUGAAAGAGGAGAACUUCUUGCCGGAACUCUCUGCAAAAAGACCCUUGGUACCGGUAAUGGGAGUCUCGUUCAUGUUAUUUGGUAAGUUGCUGCAUCCUGUUCACUUGACACCAAAAAAUUAACAUCAAGAUAUUGCAGUGUUGAUCGUGGUUUGUUUACAUUUUUCUUUUCUUGGUUUAUAGGGAAGAGGUUGGUCCUGAUGCAGCUAGGAAGUUCCUCGGUCAUACUCAAUGGCUGGUCAACUACUGGCUUCUGCAGAAUGGUUUUACCAUUGGAAUCGGUGAUACUAUUGCUGAUUCGCAAACAAUGGAGAAAAUUAAUGAGACUAUUUCUUGUGCAAAAACCGCCGUGAAAGACCUUAUCCGUCAGUUCCAGGAAAAGAAAUUAGAUCCUGAACCGGGGCGAACUAUGACAGAGACUUUUGAGAACAGAGUUAACCAGGUACGUUAAUGUCUUGAUAAUAAUUUUCAUUUGGUGCGUGUCUGAUAUGAAUGACUCCUUAUUAAGCUAAAAGCAAGUAACCGUAGUUCAUUAGGAAUAAUCAUGGUUUAGUUACUUUAUCCUUUGUCUAUGAGAGAGGUUGAGAUUUGUUAGCGAGAGGAAGAGAGAAUUGUAACAAAGAUCUCUGUAUUUCGUUAAUCAUAAGCGCUCUUCUUUAUUGAUCUUUGUCAUUUACAACGUUUGAUAACCUAAACGUAUCAGUGUCACUGAGUUUCUUACGUAUUCUGACUCAUAAACUGCUCUUGUAGGUUUUGAAUAAAGCUCGUGACGAUGCUGGAAGUAGUGCUCAAAAGAGUUUAGCAGAAACCAAUAACCUGAAGGCCAUGGUGACAGCAGGAUCCAAAGGAAGUUUCAUCAAUAUUUCUCAGAUGACAGCGUGUGUUGGUCAGCAAAAUGUGGAAGGGAAGCGGAUCCCAUUUGGAUUUGAUGGCCGGACGUUACCGCAUUUCACCAAAGAUGACUAUGGUCCUGAAAGUCGUGGGUUUGUCGAGAAUUCAUACUUGCGUGGGCUGACUCCUCAAGAGUUCUUUUUCCAUGCCAUGGGAGGAAGGGAAGGUCUUAUUGAUACUGCCGUGAAGACAUCAGAAACUGGAUACAUUCAGAGGCGAUUGGUCAAGGCUAUGGAGGAUAUUAUGGUCAAGUAUGAUGGGACAGUCAGAAACUCGUUGGGUGAUGUCAUUCAGUUUCUCUAUGGGGAAGAUGGUAUGGAUGCUGUGUGGAUAGAAUCUCAGAAGCUGGAUUCCUUGAAAAUGAAGAAAGCAGAGUUUGAUAGGACGUUCAAGUACGAGAUUGACGACGAGAACUGGAAUCCUACAUACCUAAGUGAUGAACAUCUUGAGGACUUGAAAGGGAUCAGGGAGUUGCGUGAUGUAUUUGAUGCAGAAUAUCAGAAGCUCGAGGCUGAUAGAUUUCAACUCGGGACUGAAAUUGCUACAAAUGGUGAUAGCACUUGGCCAUUACCUGUGAACAUCAAGAGGCAUAUCUGGAAUGCACAGAAGACUUUCAAGAUUGACUUGCGCAAGAUUUCGGAUAUGCACCCUGUUGAGAUUGUUGAUGCAGUUGAUAAAUUACAGGAGAGGCUGUUGGUGGUUCCUGGUGAAGAUGGAUUGAGUGUAGAAGCACAGAAAAAUGCCACACUGUUCUUCAACAUUUUGCUUCGAAGCACUCUUGCUAGUAAAAGGGUUUUGGAGGAAUACAAGCUCAGCCGUGAGGCUUUUGAGUGGGUUAUUGGUGAGAUAGAGUCAAGGUUCUUACAGUCGCUUGUAGCUCCCGGGGAAAUGAUCGGUUGUGUUGCUGCUCAGUCAAUUGGAGAGCCUGCUACGCAGAUGACUUUGAAUACUUUCCAUUAUGCUGGUGUCAGUGCGAAGAAUGUUACACUCGGUGUUCCCAGGCUGCGAGAGAUUAUUAACGUCGCUAAAAGGAUUAAAACACCUUCCCUAUCUGUCUACCUCACACCAGAAGCUAGCAAAUCAAAAGAGGGGGCUAAAACUGUUCAGUGCGCUUUGGAAUAUACUACUCUCAGGAGUGUCACUCAAGCUACGGAGGUUUGGUAUGACCCGGAUCCGAUGAGUACCAUUAUCGAAGAAGAUUUUGAAUUUGUGAGGUCCUACUAUGAAAUGCCAGAUGAAGAUGUCUCUCCAGAUAAAAUAUCUCCUUGGCUGCUUCGUAUUGAGUUGAAUCGUGAAAUGAUGGUUGACAAGAAGUUGAGUAUGGCAGAUAUAGCAGAGAAGAUCAACCUGGAGUUUGAUGAUGACCUGACCUGCAUAUUUAAUGAUGACAAUGCGGAGAAACUGAUCCUUCGGAUCCGGAUUAUGAAUGACGAGGGAGCCAAAGGAGAAGCGCAAGAUGAAUCAGCUGAAGAUGAUGUUUUCCUUAAAAAGAUUGAGAGCAACAUGCUGACAGAAAUGGCGCUCAGGGGCAUUCCAGACAUCAACAAGGUGUUCAUUAAGCAGGUUAGAAAAAGCAAGUUUGAUGAGGAUGAAGGAUUCAAGACAUCGGAGGAGUGGAUGUUAGAUACAGAAGGCGUUAAUCUGCUGGCUGUUAUGUGCCACGAAGAUGUGGAUCCAAAGAGGACAACAAGCAAUCACUUGAUUGAGAUUAUUGAAGUUCUUGGAAUUGAAGCAGUUCGUCGUGCUUUGUUGGAUGAGCUUCGAGUUGUGAUAUCCUUUGAUGGCUCUUAUGUGAAUUACCGCCAUCUUGCCAUAUUGUGUGAUACAAUGACCUAUCGAGGUCAUCUGAUGGCGAUCACUCGACAUGGUAUCAACAGAAAUGAUACUGGGCCUCUGAUGAGGUGCUCAUUUGAAGAAACUGUCGAUAUUCUGCUGGAUGCUGCAGCUUAUGCUGAGACAGACUGCUUGCGUGGUGUUACCGAAAAUAUUAUGCUCGGCCAGCUUGCACCUAUUGGAACAGGAGACUGCGAACUCUAUCUGAAUGAUGAGAUGCUGAAGAAUGCAAUUGAACUUCAGCUCCCUAGCUAUAUGGAUGGACUGGAGUUUGGAAUGACUCCUGCUCGCUCACCAAUGUCAGGAACUCCUUAUCAUGAAAGCAUGAUGUCCCCAAACUACCUCCUGAGUCCAAAUAUGCGGUUGUCUCCAAUGUCAGAUGCUCAGUUUUCUCCAUAUGUUGGUGGAAUGGCGUUUUCUCCUUCUUCAUCUCCAGGCUACAGCCCAUCUUCUCCUGGUUACAGUCCUACUUCUCCUGGUUACAGUCCGACUUCACCUGGAUACAGUCCGACUUCUCCUGGCUAUAGUCCCACUUCUCCCACGUACAGUCCUAGUUCUCCUGGCUAUAGCCCAACUAGCCCUGCUUAUUCUCCAACAAGUCCUUCAUAUUCUCCCACCUCCCCUAGCUACAGCCCAACGUCUCCUAGCUAUAGCCCAACGUCUCCAAGCUACAGUCCAACGUCUCCAAGCUACAGCCCAACAUCCCCGAGUUACAGUCCAACUUCACCUGCUUACAGUCCAACUUCUCCUGCAUACAGCCCAACGUCACCUGCAUACAGCCCUACCUCUCCAUCUUACAGUCCAACUUCACCAUCUUACAGUCCGACAUCGCCUUCUUACAGCCCUACUUCACCCUCCUACAGUCCAACAUCUCCUUCUUACAGUCCUACUUCACCUGCAUACAGCCCUACAUCUCCUGGGUACAGCCCUACAUCUCCAAGCUACAGUCCAACGUCUCCUAGUUACGGUCCGACGUCUCCAAGCUACAACCCUCAGUCUGCUAAAUACAGUCCAUCUCUGGCUUACUCCCCUAGCAAUGCAAGACUAUCACCAGCUAGCC
Molecule: long non-coding RNA, 76316 nt
Filed under: Brassica rapa (field mustard)
Lineage: Eukaryota; Viridiplantae; Streptophyta; Magnoliopsida; Brassicales; Brassicaceae
Description: long non-coding RNA (BRAP_LNC006054)
Source: RNAcentral